UUGGUGAGAAGAAGAGAAUUUGCCAAAAGAAGAAGCAGAGAGGAAUCCCUGAAGCAAGAAAAGGGCAGUGAGCACGUUGAAUAAGCAGACAACAAUGGUAGCAUGCUUGAAGCUUAGCCAUCUUAAUUUCCACCACUGCUGGACUUGAUGUGCUUUUUCCAUCAUCAACCCCUUCAAUUGACUCCCACAGGACCCUGUUUCUUUUGCCCCUUCAGCGUUUGUUUCUGUUUCCUUACUCCUUACAACCUUUUAACAAAAGGAAUACCUUGGAAGUUUUGGAAAAUUGCACAAGAACCCUGCUGAAAAUUCAUAGCCCAUUUCGAUCGUAUUUUUGGGAAAUUUUUGAAAAAAAAAAUUACUAUGGUAUUUUUGAGGAUGCCAUGUAUAUAAGAUAAGUAUAUAGGAUAAAAUGGUUAUUAAAUAUUGCAUCAAAAGAAUAUUCAUAAAUAUUGUAAAAAAAUUUCCAUAAAAAUUCAUAAUCCAAACAACACGAAUCUUCCUCCGAUUUCAUUUAAAGUGUUAUGUCUUGGAUAUUUUUUAAUAAUGGAGAAGGUUGGAUUCGAUUGGGUGGUAAAGUGGCAAAAAAAAUUACUGUUUUUUUUCUAUAUUUACCUUUAUUUUAUGUUAGACUCAAAUUUGAAUUUUGGAUUUUAGAAGGCAAAUUUGGAAGCAAAAGUACUAACUUUACAAUCUUUUUAAAAGAUCAGAAUCUAACAUUACAAUCGCUUCACUAUUCUUAAAAUAUUAGAAUCCUCAAAUAUGAAAAAUAAAUAAAUUUUUUUGAGAUGCUGGGAGUAAUCAAAUGUAAUUAUACAAAUGAGAUUCAAUUCUAACUUUACUCACCGAUUUAUAAACUAUUACCAUAAAUUAGUAGCCCUCGGCCACCUUUUUUUUUUUUUUUUUCCUUUGUCCCUUUUUGAAUUUGUGGAUUUUUGUAAUUAAAUUUCUACUAUAUAACUAUAGCACCAAAUGCAUCUUAUUCCACCCAAGACUAUCAGCCUCUUAUUUUUAAUUUGGUAAGACAACACAUAGUUUCUGGCAAUUUUUCACUUCGAACUUAGUCCCUCGUAUUACAGCGAAACCUUUUCAGAAGACCAGAACGAAAAAAAAAAAAAGAUAGUGGUUGAUAGCGGAUUGUCGCAAAGGAUGAAAGCAUGGGUGAGCCAAUUGGGUACAAGAGGAAGUGUUCAUUUAACGUAAGAGGAAGUUUUCAUUCCAAUCGAAAGGACAAGUUACUAGCAUAUGUAGAAUUUCUCAGGGGGUAGAUGAUGAGAUGAAGAGAAACCAGAACUACAGAUUUCAUUUCACUGUCAUCCAAGCAGCUUUUGCAAGCAAAUAACCAAUGAAACAGCAUUGAAUGCUGCCAGAACUUACUAGCAAUCUGAAAUCCAAAGAGUCAUCAACAUCUUUCAUUUAUAGGAAUAAACAAAAAAUUAAAAACCCACGGUACAGCCAUUACAGUAUCUGUAAAGACAUCCCAUGCAUCCAAUCUAAAAAGUCAUGCAAAAUAUUUAUCAGCCAGCACACCCUUUGGCAAGAUAUGCUAGUGCAAAAGGCCCCCUCUAAAGGCAGCAAAAUACCCCUUGCAGCAGUCAACCCCAACAGGAGAUCUGUUUAAUCAUAUUUCUUCAUAGUAUUCAUACCCUAUGCAAUAAUUUGCAGAUUCAAAAACAGCAAGCGACAGGAGUUAAGGAGAAGUCAACAUUCUCAACACAGUUCAGGAUAACAGCAAUGAAGAUGCUUGUGCCGGUCGGAACCCUGGUACACAAAACAAGUUACAGUACUGUUGCUUUUACAUGGUAAAAUUCCAUCUGCAAGCCAAAAAAGAAAGCAUCAGCAGACAGAAAUUAUGCCCAAACUUAUUUUUCAAUAACAUAUUUAUCUACUGUACGCUCGGUAACUAUUUAUCUCAUAUGUAGAGUGGAACGGCAUAAAUAUACAACCACAAAAUCCAACAAACACUAAAGGGCCCAUUUGGUAUUCAUAGUGAAAUUACUAAGAAAUAAAAAUCUUCAAUGAAGAGUAUCAUUUCAAGACAAAACUAACACCUGCGUGAUACGCAAGAAAAGCCAAGGGCAUCAAAAUUGCAAGAAAGAAACAGAGGUGCAAGAAAGUCAGUAGAGUAGAGAACCAUCAAAAUUGCAAAAUAAUCUAAUUACAGGUACAUUUAUUUGCACAGUAGAAAGUAUAAACAACUUGCAUUAGAAAGAACCCAUACUUUCCAUUGUCAUAAGCCAUGGUUAAACUAAUUAUAAGCAUUAGGACAAACCAUGUACUGUACUAACAGAAGAGCUCAACCAAGAGAGACCCAAAAAGUAAGAACAAUAACAUUGAGGAAGACCACUUCAGAAUUGAACAUUGAUCAGUCACACUGAAAAAGAAAAAUCAUCAUCUGCUCAUGAAGAACAAGCAGAAAUCAGACUCAUAAAUGUUCAUGAUGCAAAGCCUAGUUUUAAUCAUCAAAGUUAGGCUGACCAUUCAAUUGUCUAUCUGGGCAAUCACAUAUUUAGCAACACAAUGUUCUAUCAUAAUUGCAAGAACCAUCAAAGUUAGGCUGACCAUUCAAUUGUCUAUCUGGGCAAUCACAUAUUUAGCAACAUAGUGUUCUAUCAUAACUGCAAGAAUCUUAGCCAACAAAGCACUUUUUUUAGAAGAUCACAUUAUUUCCAAAGGUCAACUACAUAUGUAAAAGCAGCAUUAGUGAUAGUUACCCCGACUUUAAACAUUUAUUAUCCAGAGUUAAACUUGUGACCUUUUUGAGAACCCAAAGCCAACUGCCAAGUCACUGUUGCAACAAAACGUCAAGCCUCAAGUUCAAGCGAAAUUAGUGAUAAGGUAACCAAAUUUAAAGGGGAGAAAUUCAGGUUAACCUCAACACUUUCAGCAAAUCGGGAACUACUUCUUCCCUAGCAGUUCAGCUAGAUUAAAUAAAAACAUAUCAGAACUUAGCAAAUAAUGCAACUACAAUCAAAUAAACACUUUCGAUAGGCCUCAGGAAGUUAAUAUUUCAAGUAAAUGCAAACUUGAAGUGACAAAGUACAGUUUAGUUUAAUUCAAUACCAAAUUCUGCAGAAGAUCUUGCAGCCACUUUCUGUUUGUUUAAAUGACUUUGAUAAGCAUAUGUUGGUCUGCAUAUGCUUCAAGCAACAUGCAACACCGUCCACAACUUCAUGGAUCUUUAAAGAAUCUCCGUUAUUAGCUUUACCAAAGCCAAUAUGAGAUUCUUGAAAGCUCCACCAUAGAUCUUCUUUUCAUUUCUUAAGUAAAUAUUUUAUAAAAAAUUGAGAAGGGAAGGAACAAGAAGGAAGUGGCAAUGCUGAUGGAAAUCAAAUCCUGUUUUAAGAAAGGAACAAUGAUUUGAGGGUAACUAACUAUAGAGAUUCUUUAGAGGUUCCACAACUUGGGAAAAUUAGCCAUGUGAUGUAUCUUUUACUUAUUUAAGUUGCCAAUAUAUUUAGGGUGGUCAAUGCAAUACAACUGGACAACUUUUGGAAGAAAAAGGAAAAAGAAAAAGAAAAAGAAAAGAUCAACUAAGAACUACCAUUCCACAUUGUCAACGAGGACUUAUGAUACCUUUUUGUUUACACCCAGUUGUGCUUUCAUAUAUGCUAUACAUAUGCAGAAGAGUUGAAAUGAGCAAGUAGUUUUCUCCAUUCUUGUAUGGUCAUCCAAGGUUAGCGUAUGGAGAUCUCAUUACCACUCCAAAGAGGGUUGUGAUAAAGCAUCGGACAGGGGAUCUAAGGAGGGCUACAAUGACAUAAUCUAAAGUACACUGCAGUAAAGAAGUCAUUGACUCAAUUUGGACUUUUUGUUCUGAGAUCUGAAUGACUUUGUUCAUUUGGGCUUAUUUUCCACAGUAUGGAGUCAUUUCUGCUGCCGGUCUCUAUCUGGUUGGUUGGCCUUUGCCACACAGGCCACCUCACUCCCAUCAUAUGAUGAUAUACUAGAAAGAGAUCCUGCUCAGAAUUUCAACCUAAGUACAUGCAUGUUUAUCCAAGUAUAAGUUUUUGCAAAUGUUACUCUUGCCUUGCAAACUUUUGUAAUUUGCCCCACAGGUUCCAUAUGUUGCUAUCUUUCCCUAAAAAUCCACAUUCCGGCAUUACUUGUACUAGAGCAUGCUAAUUGUUCAGUACAAUUUUGAAUACCCUUAUUCGUGUUCCUAGACAAUCAACAAGUUUCAAUGUUUGAUUGCCUUGUCUUAGCAACCUUCUUUUUAUUUAGGCACUUUAAAGAAGAAUUAACAUCUCAGCCAUUUCUUCAUUCAACAUUUUAGGACGACAGAAAUAUGGCGAACACAAACUUCAAUAGCUUACAACACUAUACAAGAGGCAACACUACAGGGUUGCUGGUUUCCAUAACCAUAACCUUAAGAGUUUGCAUCAAAAUUGUCGAGCCUGUAUGAACUGGGGGGACUUUAGCACCAUCUUAUCCUACAACAGCAAUUACUGAAGUAUUAAAUUAUGCACAACUGACAAAUAGCAGUCAACCCCAACCGCAACACUCAAAUUUCUGAAAUAACUACAACUUACUAACCCAGAGUCAAAAAAUUGUAAUCAUUCCCCACAAAUAACAUAAAAGAAUUAAAAGCAAAUUAUAAACUGAAAUGUAACUUCUUCACAAACAAAAAGUUGUGUUGAGGUGCUUUCACUUGCUUUUGGAAGAAGCUGAUUCUGAGAAAUAGUUUUCAAGCUGCAAUCAUUGUUAGAGUUUAGCUUUUAAUAUUUUCAAACAAAAAACAAGCUUUCCAUAUUAAAUAGCUUGAUGAAAGUAUCUGUAAAGUAGCUAAACUAGAUGAGAAUAAGACCACAAUAUCAACUACAACAAGUAAAUUCCCUUUCCCACUCAACCGGAAAACCAAAAACCAGAAGAUGCAUCACAGAAACGCAUGGUAGCGAGAAAAGGGCCCCUGCAUAUGUAAAUUUAAUGCAGAAGUAUCCACAUUAGAUUUGUAAAGAAAUGACAAAUCAAAAGGUCAUAAGCAGUAUCUAGAGAUACAUUAAAGUUCUCCCAGAACAUUUAAGUACAAGAAGUCAUAGAAACUUUAGUAAGUGAAAAUAAGUCAUACAACCCAUAAUUCUUCAGAGUUCAGAGGAAACACAAAAACUACUACUGACAAAAAUGAGUGUACCUUAGUGCAUUAUGGCUUCAAAUGGUGGCCCCGCAUCCUAAAGAAACAGACACCGAAUCCAAUUACUUAUCGUACAUGGGAAGUUUUCCUGUCCACUCAUCAGCGAUCCCAUAAUCGAGGCUAAUUUCCCUUAAAGGAGGAAUGUUCUCCAUCGCAAACAACAUGAGGUGAGGGAAAGAGACAUUAUCAUGAUCAUAGAGUACUGGCUGUACCAAAGCAUUUGGAUUCGAGUUGUGGCUUAUGUAACAGGCUACGUUCCUCAGUCUUGAUACAUCCAUUGCAAAGUCCAGUGGAGGAAUUGAUGGAUAUUCUGGACGCUUAUAAUCAGGAAAUAUAUCAGUUAAGUCUCCCCACUCGGCCCACCUAUCAGGAAAGCGACUAGGAUAAACCAAGCUGUCUCCAUUCAUGGUGAAAAUCUGAGCUUGCUCGCGCGUAAGAACAAUUCCUGCGAAUUCACAAAUAAAUGCACCAGCCUGGAUCAAAUCCAACGAUCUAACUCCCCAGCCAGUCUUCCUGGACCUAAAAACUUCCAAUCUAUUCCUAACACCUCUCUGGCUCACCCGAUUCCGACAUGUUGCAGGACAACGACAAUCUGGCCCACAUUCAAAGAUUACUGGCUUUCCCUUCAACAAAAUCCCAUUUUCUUCAUAUGCAAAAUCGCCUCCAUUUUUCACAGCACAAAAGCAACCAUCAAAACAAUCACCCACACAAUCGCACCCUGUCCCAUUCUUGCCAUGCUUGUAUACAUGGAGCGGGAAGACAGUUGACAGAAGAUACUCAUAAAAGACAGGUGCAUUAUUAUUAUCCACGUCAUUAAACAGAAAAACAGGCACCUUCUCGUUCUUCAUUGACAAGUCAAGACUAACAUACCCUUUUGGCCUUGCCUCUAACGGCCUAGUCCUAAGAGUCUGCGCAAACCUGAGAAUAGAGCUACCCAUUUCCGGUUGAUUCUCAAUUCUAGCAAGCUUAUACUUAAAAACCCCAAACCCUGAUUUCCCCACAUCAAACCAACAAGUAACAACCCUAUAUAAACCAUCAUAAACAUAAACUUUACCACUAACACUGCCCUCAUAUUUAAAACCACGAAUUACCCUUACCUCAAUGCCAUAGUACAUGCUCCUCUCCAGUGCCAAAUUCCCACAUUCCAGCUUCUGAUUCGUACAUUGCCUGUUCUGCUUGUCCUGUCCACCAUGUCCAGUGUAAAUUAUCUCAUCUCCAGUGUCUACAUCAUCCUCGUAGCCUCCUGAAACAAUCACACUUGUUGCUAUAGGCUCUCCAUUUGAGCCCUGACUUGCUGACAGAUAAUCAAUGCCAGCCCGAGCCCGCCCAUGUAAUCCAAUUACACAUAAUUCCAUCCUGAAAAAAAACAAAUCCCCAAUCUCCACGCCAGGGAUUGUGCCCACAAUCCUUCUAUCACAAUUUAACCACAACCCACGUUGCUUCAACAAUGCAGCUGCUUUUAAGUCCCCUCUAGUCCUCCUAUGAGGAACCAAAUCCCCCCUAUGUUUUUCAUCCUCCGCGAUAGCCAAAACACGAAUCGCAUCAUAAAGCAUUCUCGUCCUUCUCACUAAAUUCCUAAAAUACUGCAAAUCAUCCACACUAAGAUCCGUCACGCGGACUAACUUCGCUGACCUCUGAGAAUAUUUCCUCCGCGAAACCACAGCGUUCAACAGCUGGUUCUCAUUCUCAGAAUUUAAAGGCAGAAUUGCUCUCGGGAUUUCAGAGUCCUCAAAUUCAGCAACCUCUCCAUUCCUUUCUUCUCCUUCAGCAAAAGCGUUGCCAAAAAGCCCUGUAAGACGAUAAAAUUCCGAAUAAACAUUCAACGAAUCAUUGAAGGAAGAAGGUACGGGUUCUUGGUUGUUGGCAGUAGCGCUAGGGGUAGCGGGUGUAAUGGGGAUGGUUGGAGAUGGGGUUAUGGUGAAAGUUGAGCUGGAAUUAAGGUUGCUUGGAGGGUUUACGUAAAAUGGCAAAGGCGUUUGAUAAUGGGCUACUGGGGGUUCAUCCAAAAGUUCAUCAAGAGGUUCAAGUGUGGGUUCUUUUCUGGGGAUAAUUAAAGGGUUUGGAAUGGAAGCAGAAAUUGAGGAAGAUGGUGCAAGAGGGUCUCGGAUGGAAGCAGAAAUUGAAGAAGACGGUCCAAGACGGAGAUCCAAGUCUUCAAUUGGGAUAAGAGAACCCAUGUUUUUUUCCUUUUCUUUUUUCACCUUUUUGCUAGUGGAAAAAUCAAGCAAAAGAUGAGUUUUUUUUUUUUGACAGCUUUUGGGUAGUGAGGUAGUUUGGUGAGAUGGGUUUUGUUAGCUCAUGAAAUUCAUGUAAAGAGAUUUUUAGGAAAUGGUGAUGGUGGGAGGUGGUAGGUUUUUGCAGAGGUGUAUGAGUUUGUUUUCGUCGAGGUGAGGAGUGAAAGAGCGAGUGAAGUGAGGAAAGGGGCUUUUUGCGAAAUGGGAAAGGGAUUAAAGGAUGGAGACAAAUAAUACAACCCCCAUAUAAAGCGACGGAAGAGUUUAAGCGAUAAAUUUAUUUCUCACAUCUUCUGGACACCAGUACUUAAAUAAAUUGUCACAACUGGCAAUACAAUAUGGUAAUAGAAGUCAAAGAAUUGGUACUCACUCUUUUGAUAAAAUCCAAAGGUAUCAUGGCACGGCGUACCUCCUCAGAUUCCUUCAUGUGCCUAAGUAAAACUGCAUUUUUAGGAUAGAGAAAUGUAUUACUGAAUAAGCAAGAUAGCAGUCCAUAAAAUGAGAUAAGUACCAAGAAAAUAACGAAAAUUUUCAAAGAGCAUCAACAUAAAUAACUAUUUCCAGACAAAGUAAUGCUACUAAACAAAAUAUGAGGAUAAGAUGUAUUCAUUUAUCCUAAAGUCUAAAACAGCUUCAAUCUUGGUUCAGAAAUGAUGAUUGGAUGCUACAUUACAAUUAUCUACAAGUUAUAUAAGCCACAUAGCUACAUCCAGCAAAGGGUUGUUUCCACCAAAAUUUCUUACCUAUUCUAUCAAUAUCCUCUCAAUGGAUUUUAUUCUUCCCAAUUCCUACAGGUGAUGGGCUAGAAACUGUUUUACCAGCUUUCAAAAGAUUCCCUCACCGACUCAAAAGCUGCUCCAAAAAGCAGAGCUACUCAAAUCUUAUUCCCUUAAAAAGAAAUGUUUUCUCACAAUUGAAGAGCUACGAUUAAUCAUGAAAACGCAAGACACCAUACUCACUAGUCAUUGGCAGCAAAUUCAUCAAAACAGUAGCGGACACAAAAACAAGCUGUAAAUCUGCAUCUUUUUAAAGCCCUUUUCCCAUUACCAACCACUCAAAAGAAGUUGAUAUUCUCUACCCAGUCCAUCAAUUGAUCAUAAUCCCAGAAAUUAUCACUUAACAAUCUUGAAAACCGCAGAUUAGCAUCAUAAACCCAAAUUAAGUAUACUGAAAUCUUAAUUCAAGAUUUAGCAAUCUUAUAUCAGACUUAUUCCGGAAGCCCACAAGUUGAAUUUAGGAAGAAACAGUAGAAUCCACCAAUAAAAUGAAAAUAUUGGAGAGAAAGAGGAACCUGAAUUGGGUUGGUGAGAAGAAGAGAACUGGCCAAAUGAAGAAGCAGAGAGGAAUCCCUGAAGCAAGAAAUGGGCAGUGAGCAAGUUGAAUAAGCAGACAACAAUUGUAGCAUGCUUGAAGCUUAGCCAUCUUAAUUUCCAUCAUCAACCCCUUCAAUUGACUCCCACAGGACUCUGUUUCUUUUGCCUCUUCACCGUUUGUUUCUGUUUCCCUGCUCCUCACAACCUUGCAACAAAAGGAAUGCGCUCGUACCUUGGAAGUUUUGGAAAAUUGCAUAAGAACCUUGCUGAAAAUUAAUACCCCGUUUGGAUUGUGCUUUCGGGAAAUUUUUCCAAAAAAAAUCUACACUACUUGUACUUUUAAGGAUGCAAUAUGUAUAUAAGAUAAGUAUACAGAUAAAAGGAUCAUUAAGUAUUCACGAAAAUUAUAGAAAUUUUUUCUAAAAAAUCACAAUCCAUUUAAAGCGAAUCUUCUUCCAUUUCAUUUAAAAUGUUAUGUCUUGGAUAUUUAUUAAAGCUAGGGAAGGAUUGGAUUCGAUUGGGUGAUAAAGUGGUAGGGAAAAAAAUACCCAAAUUUAAAUUUUGAAUUUUAGAAGGUAAAUUUGUAAGCAAAAGUACUAAUAUUACAAUCAAUCCACUAUUUUUAAAAAAUUCGAAUCUAACAUUGCAAUUGUUCCACUAUUCUUAAAAUGUUAGAAUACUAAAACGCCAAAAAAAAAAAUACAUUUUUUUUGAAACAAAGGGAGUAGUCAAGUGUAAUUGUAAAAAUGAUUUUCAAUUCUAGCUUUAGUUACCGACUUAUAAAACUAUUACUAUUGUUCCACCAUUUUUUCUUUUUCCUUUUUGAAAUUUGAGGAUUUGUAAUUAAAUUUCUAUUAUAAAACUAUAGCACCAAAUGCAUCCUAUGCCACCUAAAACUAGCAGCCUCUUAUUUUUAUUUUGGUAAGACAACACAUUUCUGGCAAUUUUUCACUUUGAACUUAGUCCCUCGUAUUACCUUUUCAGAAGACCAGAACAAAAAAAACCAAAAGAUAGUACUUUGGAUAAGAGUUUAUUUGAAUGAUUUAUUUGAAAUAUUUACUGUAGCACUUUUUGUGAUGUGAUGUAUGUGAGAUAAAAAGAUAAUUAGGAUUUGUGAGAAUAAAUUUUGCAAACCAAAUUAUCUUUGUCCAAACAAACUCACUGUAGUGAUUGAUAGCAAAGAAUGAAAGCAUGGGCGGGCCAAUUGAGGUACAAGAGGAAGUUUUCAUUCCAAUAAAAAGGACAGUAGCUGAAGAGAUGAAGAGAAACCAGAACUACAGAUUUCAUUUCACUGUCAUCCAAGCAGCUUUUGCAAGCAAAAAACCAAUGAAACAGCAUUGAAUGCUGCCAGAACUUACUAGCAAUCUGAAAUCCGAAGAGUCAUCAACAUCUUUCAUCUAUAGGAAUAAAAAAAUUAAAAACAGAACUCUGCAUUUACAAAUGUUACAAAAAUUUGCCCCCCUUGUUCUCUUUUUUUGAUCUUUCAAAGAUAAAAAGCACAUAAAAUGAACUACAACCCACGGUACAACCAUUACAGUAUCUGUACAGACAUCCCAUACAUACAAACUAAGACUAGGAAAUCAUAUAGUCAUGCAAAAUAUUUAUCAGCUAGUCAUCCCAUACACCCUUUGGCAAGACAUGCUAGUGCAAAAGGCCCCUUUAAAGGCAGCAAAAUACCCCUUGCAGCAGUCAACCCCAACAGGAGAUCUGUUUAAUCAUAUUUCUUUAUAGUAUUCAUACCCUAUCCAAUAAUUUGCAGAUUCAAAACAGCAAGCGACAGGAGUUAAGGAGAAGUCAACAUUCUCAAGACAGUUCAGGAUAACAGCAAUGAAGAUGCUUGUGCCGGUCAGAACCCUGGUACACAAAACAAGUUACAGUACUGUUGCUUUACAUGGUAAAAUUCCAUCUGCAAGCCAAAAAAGAAAGCAUCAGCAAACAGAAAUUAUGCCCAAACUUAUUUUCAAUAACAUAUUCAUCUACUGUACAUUCGGUAACUAUUUAUCUCAUAUGUAGAUUGGAACGACGUAAAUAUACAACCAUAAAAUCCAACAACCACUAAAGGGCCCAUUUGGUAUUCAUAGUGAAAUUACUAAGAAAUAAAAAUCUUCAAUGAAAAGUAUCAUUUCAAGACAAAACUAACACCUGCGUGAUACGCAAGAAAAGCCAAGUGCAUCAACAUCAAACCUCAAGAGGAUGGCAGAAAGAAACAGAGCUGAAAGAAAGCAACAGUAAAGCAGAGAACCAUCAAAAUUGCAAAAUAAUCUAAUUACAGGUACAUUUAUUUGCACAGUAGAAAGUAUAAACAACUUGCAAUAGAAAGCAGCCAUACUUGCCAUUGCCAUAAGCCAUUACCCAACCCAGAAAAAUGGCCAUGUACUAAUAAGUACAAAAGGACAAAAAAAGAAUCAGGAAAAGCACAAUGAAAAAAACUCAUCAGAUUGAUUCCUCAGAAAAUUAAGGGAAGACAGAUAUGCAGCAAAGGAGAAAUGCAUAUGACAUCAUUCAAAAGCUAUGCUGUUCUACAAGAAACAUGUUCAGCAAAACCUCUAGAAGUAUAAAUCGACCAUAUGCCAGGAAAAGGAUCACGUGAAAAAUAAACAUGAUAUAGAAUUAGCUUUAAUGCAUUUUUAAACACAACCAAGCUUGCAAGAGGGGAGUCUGACACUGCCACAUCAGAUUAGCUAAAUUGCAAGCCCAUCAAAACUUAGUUAAUCAUCAAUCUCAAACCAAUUGAUGCACUACAAGAGCAGGUAACUAAUUCUGACAGAGUUUCAUCCAAAAAUUCAAAAGAAGAUUUUUCGCAAAAUAAAAGGGAAUAAAUCCACUGAAGCAGGUAACUAAUUCUCACAAAGUUCCAUCCAGAAUAAUGUGCAAAAGUUUAAGAGAGAGAGAGAGAGAGAGAGAGAGAGAGAGAGAGAGAAGGAGAAGGACAAAUUCAAACACCUUCACAAAAGUCAGGUUCAACUAAUGAUAAGCAUUGGGACAAAUCAUUUACUAUACUAACAGAAGAGCUCAACCAAAAGAGACCCAAAAAGUAAGAACAAUAACUUGGAGGAAGACCACUUCAGAAUUGAACAUUGAUCAGUCACAAUGAAAAAAAAAAAUCAUCAUCUGCUCAUGAAGAGCAAGCAGAAAUCAGAUCUCAUAAAUGUUCAUGAUGUAAAGCCUAAUUUUAAUCAUCAAAGUUAGUCCAAGAAACUAUCCAUCAGGGUCAUAAACCACUAUACAUGCUAUUUCUACAUCAGAGCAAUGAUUGUAAACUUCUACUUUCAACAAUAAAGGAAAAAAAAAAUUAUACUUCACCAUAUUAAUGAUUUGACUCUGAAAAAACAAGACAACAGGUAAACAUACAAAUUGGUAAGAACAUUAACACAUCUUCUGACAAAUUGUUACAACCAAUAUACUCUAAAUGUCACAUCAAACAUAGAGCAUGUAGAAAAUUCAGAUAUAAGUUAUAUAUUACACCUAAGAAGCAUUUGAUUUGAUGAAAACAAGUAAAAAGACACUACUUCGAAUACUGUUUUCUACCUUUUUGCCAUCAUGUAACAAGUUCCUACAUGUUAUCAUGAACUAAAAAGCAAAAAAGUUAAGUCAUUUGAGAUUUCAUACACAUGACAGAAAAGUAUAGGCAACAUUUUGUUGCAAAAAGAACCAUGUAUCAACCCCAAACUGGGUAAAAUCUAAUUUUGUUAGCAUUCUGUACACCCAGGAAGAAAGUGCAAUUGGUCCCAACAUCAAAAGAUUGUCAUUCUCCACGACUUUAUCACAGGGAAACAUUUAAUAACACUUAAGAUUCUUCCAUGACAGAAAUUGUAAACACUGUCCUCGAAGAAAAAGAAACGCCUCAAUUAAUUUGGUUAACCAUCACACAAGUAAAUCAUGUGGUUAAGAUUAAGGGACUUUGGAUCUGUAUAAUUGCAAUUUCAAAUUAUCUCAUGCACUGAAAGACCAACUCACAGAACUUGUAGAAUUGAUACUAAAUUUUUUGCAUCUGUAUACAGUAACAAGCUGUAUUAUGAGUGAACUACAAGCCUUUUUUGAUUGGAUUUAUAUGAUCUGAAGAAAACAAAUGACUAGUAAGUGGAGUGGAGACUUUUAUAGACCAAAAUCUUUUGUCAAAGAUGCAUCGCUAAAAUUAAUUUCUUCUUAGAAUCACUGAAUAGUUGGAUGAAAUCAAUGAAGUUUAUCACAGGAAUUCUUGCCUGGACUUCCUUCACAGAUCCACCCGUAGACCUUGUGGCCACCCAAGUGCCUAAGUCACCAUUGUGACAUCAUAUGACAUCAGGCUGAUGUCAUACAUGUUAUAUAAAUGAUUUGGGCAAUUGGAUGGCCACAAGGUCCACAAGUGGGGCUGUGAACCAAGUACAACCAAGAAUUUUCUAUUCAGCUCAUUUCAAAAGUUAAUGUGCUAACAUCUGCAACUUUAAGCACAAAAAAGGUAUUUUGGUGUAUAUGCUCUAUUUCGACUUAUAUUCAACAGGUUUUUCCAUGGUGAAAUGGAUAAAUAAGGCAAAAAGUAUUAGAACACUAGUCUACUUCCAAAAGACCACUCAAUUGUCUAUUUGGACAAUCACAUAUUUAGCAACAUAGUGUUCUAUCAUAAUUGCAAGAAUCUUAGCCAAUAGAGGACGUUGUUUUAGAAGAUCACAUUACUUCCAAAGGUCAACUAGAUAUGUAAUAAGCAGCAUUAGUGAUAGUUCUCCCGAGUUUAAACAUUCUUAUCCAAAAUCAAACUUGUGACCUAUUUGAGAAUCCAAAGCCAGCUGCCAAGUCACUGUUGCAACAAAACGUCAAGCCUCAAGUUCAAGCGAAUUUAGUGACAAGGUAACAAAAUUUCAUUGGGAGAAAUUCGGAUUAAUCUAAACACCAUCAGCAAAUCAGGAACUACUUCUUCCUUAGCAGUUCAGCUAGAUUAAAUAAAAACAUAGCAGAACUUAGCAAAUAACGCAACUACAAUCAAAUAAACACUUUCAAUAGGCCCCAGGAAGUUAAUAUUUCAAGUAAAUGCAAAUUUGAAGUCACAAAAUAUAGUUUAUUUUAAUUUAAUACCAAACUCUGCAGAAGACCUUGCAGGCACUUUCUGUUUGUUUAAAUGACUUUGAUCAGCAUAUGUUGAUCUGCAUAUGCUUCAAGCAACAUGCUAGAUUGUCCACAACUUCAUGGAUCUUUAAAGAAUCUCCAGCAUUAGCUUUACCAAAGCUAGCUCCAGUAUUAGCUUCUCUAGAGCUAAUAUGAAAUUCUUGAAAGCUCCACAAUAGAUCUUCUUUUCUUUUCUUAAGUAAAUAUUUUAUAAAAAAAAAUUGAAAAGGAAAGGAACCAGUAGGAAGUAGCAAUGCUGAUGGAAAUCAAACCAUGUUUUAAGAAAGGAACAAUGAUUUGAGGGUAACUAACUCUAGAGUAGAGGUGGCAAAAUGGGCAGGAUUUGCGUGGGUUUGAAAUGGAAUCGAGUAAUAUGAGUCUAGACCCAACCUCACCCAUAUAUGUUUUGGGACCAAGUUGGGCGGAAUCAAUUUGGGAUGGGUAUAGAUUGAUCCCGCCCAAUGCCCAGGUCUAUUCCUGUAUUCUUUUUUCCUUUAAUUCUUUUUUAUUUUUUAUAUAACUUUAAUUUUUUUUAUUUAUUAAAUUUCUUUUAGUCUUAUUGUGAAUUUAUAUUUCUUAAAUUCUUUUUUCCCCAAAUUUUCUUGUAUUUAUUUUCUAUGUAUAUAUAUUGUUUUAAUCUUUCAUUUCCAAUGCUGCUAAAUUUUAGUUGAGGAAAAAAUAAGUCCUAUAAAAACUUAAAAGGACUUGUAUUUAUGAGUAUAACGAAAUGGUGUUUGGAACUAUGAGCCAUCAUAAAACUACCAAGACUGGACAAAGAAUUUUUUAAUAAGAUUAUAGAUUAAUGACUUCCAUAUUACUCCCAAUAUUCAUUUUGAUUAGUAUUCUACUAAAAAAGGAGUUCGAAACCAUUUACAGGCCUAAAAGAGCCCUAUUUGGGCUCUCUUCGGCCUGACUGCGUAACCAUUGAGUUCCCAUCUCAAAACAAGAAGUUUCUUUCAACAUUUUUUAAAGAGCACUCUAAAUUGAGACUGGCGACAAAAUUUUUAUGAAAAAGGGAAAAAACUUUAAAAAAAAAAAAGUGAUUUCUAAGAGACAAAAGAGCUGAGAAAACUAGAUGGGGGUUUUAAGCAUAAUAACAAGGAAAAAACUGAAGGACCUAGCUGGAAGAAUAAAAAUGGUUUACUUGAGUUGUUAAAAGAUAUAGAACAAUUGAUAGGAUAAAUUUUUGGUGAGAUCUUUGGGCCCCAAUGGGUACCUAAGUAUUUCCCAAGAAUUCCCAUCAAUUGAUGGAUAUAAAUGCGAUUAGUCCCAUUUUAAGCCCAAUUUCAAAAUUAGAACACCCAUCGUGCCCAAAGUCCCUUUGGGCAGGGGUAGCCCAUUGGGACUUGGGACAAAUUGCCAUCUCUACUCUAGAGAUUCUUUAGAGGUUCCACAACUUGGGAAAAUUAGCCAUGUGAUGUAUCUUUUACUUAUUUAAGUUGCCAAUAUAUUUUGCGUGGUCAAUGCAAUACCACUGCCCAACCCUUGUAAGAAAAAGAAAAAAGGAAAAAAAAAAAAGAAAAGAUCAACUACCAUUCUACAUUGUCAAUGAGGACUUCUGAUGUCUUUUUGUUUAUACCCAGUUGUGGUUUCAUAUAUGCUAUACAUAUGCUGAAGAGUUGAAAUGAGGAAGUGGUUUUCUCCAUUCUUGUAUGGUCAUCCAAGGUUAGCGUAUGGAGAUCUCAUUACCACUCCAAAGAGGGUUCAACUGUGAUAAAGCGUCAGACAGGGGAUCUGAGGAGGGCUAUUAUGACGUAAUCUAAAGUACACUACAGUAAAGCAGGAAUCCCUCAUUGACUCACUUUGGACUUUUUGUUUUGAGAUCUAACUGACUUUGUUGAUUUGGGCUUAUUUUCCAAAGUAUGGAGUCAUUUCUGCUGCAGGUCUCUAUCUGGUUGGUUAGCCUUGGCCACACAGGCCACCUCACUCCCAUCAUAUGAUGAUAUACUAGAAAGAGGUCUUGCUCAAAAUUUCAACCUAAGUACAUGGGUGUUUAUCCAAGUAAAAGUUUUUGCAAAUGUUAUUCAUGCCUUGCAAACUUUUGUAAUUUGCCCCAAAGGUUCCAUAUGUUGCUAUCGUUCAGUCUAAAUCCAAAUAAAUCAUUACUUGUAUUAGAGCUUGCUAAUUGGUCAGUACAAUUUUGAAUAGCCUUAUUUGUGUUCCUAGGAAAUCAACAAGUUUCAAUGAUUGAUUGCCUUGUCUUAGCAACCUUCUUUUUGUUUAGUCACUUUAAAGAAGAAUUAACAUCUCAGUCAUUCUCUUCAUUCAACAUUUUAGGACAGAAAUAUGGCAAGAACACAAACUUCAAUAGUUCACAACACUAUACAAGAGGCAACACUACAGAGUUGCUGGUUUCCAUAACCAUAUCCUUAAGAGUUUGCAUCAAAAUUGUCGAGCCUGUAUGAACUGGGAGGACUUUGGCACCUUCUUAUCCUACAACAGCAAUUGCUGAAGUAUUAAAGUAUGCGCAACUGACAUAUCUAAGUCUGACUAACCACAAUACUCAAAUUUCUGAAGUAACUACUACUUACUAACCCAGGGUCAAAAAAUUGUAAUCAUUCCCUAAAGGCAAAAAUAAAAUAAAAGUAUUAAAAACAAAUUAUAAACUCAACUGUAACUUCUUUUCAAACAAAAAGUUGUUUUGAGGUACUUUCACUUGCUUUUCAAAAGAGCUGAUUCUGAGAAAUAGGCUUCAAGCUGUUAUCAUUGUUAGAGUUUAGCUAUUAAUAGUUUCAAACAAAAAACAAGCUUUCCAUAAAAUAGCUGAACUAGAUGAGAAUAAGCCCACAAUAUCAACCACAACAAAUAAAUUUCCUUUCCCAGUCAACCGGAAAGCAAAAAACCAGAAGAUGCAUCAAAGAAAUGCAUGAUAGCGAGAAAAAGGCCCCCGCACACGUAAAUUCAAUUAUCCACAUUAGAUUUGUAAAGAAAUGACAAAACCAACAGGUCAUAAGCAGUAUCUAGAGAAACAUAAAAGUUCUCUCAGAACUUUAGAAGUACAAGAAGCCGUGGAAACUUUAGAAAGUGUCAAUAAGUCAUACAACCCAGAAAGAGUUCAGAAGAAACUCAAAAAAUACUACUGCAAAAAAUGAGUGUACCUUAGUGCAUUAUGUUUUCAAAUGGAGGCCCUGCAUCCAAAAGAAACAGACACCGAGUCCAAUUAUUUAUCGCAGAUGGGAAGUUUUCCUGUCCACUCAUCAGCGAUCCCAUAGUCAAGGCUAAUUUCCCUUAAAGGAGGAAUGUUCUCCAUCGCAAACAACAUGAGGUGAGGGAAAGAGACAUUAUUGUGAUCAUACAGAACUGGCUGUACCAAAGCAUUUGGAUUCGAGCUGUGGCUUAUGUAACAGGCUACGUUCCUCAGUCUUGAUACAUCCAUUGCAAAGUCCAAUGGCGGAAUUGACGGAUGUUCUGGACGCUUGUAAUCAGGAAAUAUAUCAGUUAAAUCACCCCACUCGGCCCACCUAUCAGGAAAGCGACUAGGAUAAACCAAGCUGUCUCCAUUCAUGGUGAAAAUCUGAGCUUGUUCGCGCGUAAGAACAACUCCUGUGAAUUCACAAAUAAAUGCACCAGCCUGGAUCAAAUCCAAUGAUCUAACUCCCCAACCAGUCUCCCUGGACCUAAAGACUUCCAAUCUAUUCCUUACACCUCUCUGGCUCACCCGAUUCCGACAAGUUGAAGGACAACGACAAUGUGGCCCACACUCAAAGAUUACCGGCUUUCCCUUCAACAAAAUCCCAUUUUGUUCGUAUGCAAAAUCGCCCCCAUUUUUUGCAGCACAAAAACAACCAUCCAAACAACCACCUAUGCAAUCGCAUCCUGUCCCGUUCUUGCCAUGGUUGUAUACAUGAGGUGGGAAGACAGUCGACAAAAGAUACUCAAAAAAGACAGGCUCGUUAUUAUUAUCCACAUCAUUAAACAGAAAAACAGGCACAUUCUCUUUCUUCAUUGACAAGUCAAGACUAACAUACCCUUUUGGCCUUGCCUCUAACGGCCUAGUCCUAAGAGUCUGCGCAAGCCUGAGAAUCGAGCUACCCAUUUCCGGUUGAUUCUCAAUUCUAACAAGCUUAUACUUAAAAACGCCAAAGCCGGAUUUCCCCACAUCAAACCAACAAGUAACAACUCUAUAUAAACCAUCAUAAACAUAAACUUUACCACUAACACUGCCCUCAUAUUUAAAACCACGAAUUACCCUUACCUCAAUGCCAUAGUACAUGCUCCUCUCCAGUGCCAAAUUCCCACAUUCCAGCUUCUGAUUCAUACAUUGCCUGUUGUGCUUGUCCUGUCCACCGUGUCCAGUGUAAAUUAUCUCAUCUCCAGUGUCUACGUCAUCCUCAUAGCCUCCUGAAACAAUCACACUUGUCGCUAUAGGUUCUCCAUUCGAGCUCUGACUUGCUGACAGAUAAUCAAUGCCAGCCUGAGCCUGCCCAUGUAAUCCAAUUACACAUAAUUCCAUCCUGAAAAAAAACAAAUCCCCAAUCUCCACACCAGGGAUUGCACCCACAAUCCUUUUAUCGCGAUUUAACCACAACCCACGUUGCCUCAACAAUGCAGCUGCUUUUAAGUCCCCUCUAGUCCUCCUAUGAGGAACCAAGUCCCCCCUAUGUUUUUCAUCCUCCGCGAUAGCCAAAACCCGAAUCGCAUCAUAAAGCAUUCUCGUCUUUCUCACUAAAUUCCUAAAAUACUGCACAUCAUCCGCACUAAGAUCCGUCACGCGGACUAACUCAGCCGACCUCUGAGAAUAUUUCCUCCGCGAUACCACAGCGUUCAACAGCUGGUUCUCAUUCUCAGAAUUGAAAGGCUGGUUCUCAUUCUCAGAAUUAAAAGGCACAAUCGCUCUCGAGAUAUCAGAGUCCUCAAAUUCAGCACCCUCUCCAUUCCUUUCUCCUCCUUCAGCAAAAGCGUUGCGGAAAAGCUCCGUGAGACGAUAAAAUUCCGAAUAAACAUUCGACGAAUCAUUGGAGGAAGAAGUUACGGGUUCUUGGUUGUUGGCAGUAGGGCUAGGGGUAGCGGGUGUAAUGGGGGUGGUCGGAGAUGGGGUUACGGUGAAAGUUGAGCUGGAAUUAAGGUUGUUCGAAGUGUUUAAGUAAAAUGGCAAAGGCGUUCGAUAAUGGGCUACUGGGGGUUCAUCCAAAAGGUCAUCAAGAGGUUCAAGUUUGGGUUCUUUCUUGGGGAUAAUUAAAGGGUUUCGAAUGGAAGCAGAAACAGAGGAAGACGGUGCAAGAGGGUCUCGAACGGAAGCAGAAAUUGAGGAAGAGGGUCCAAGAUGGAGAUUCAAGUCUUCAGCUGGGAUAAGAGAACCCAUUAUUUUUUUUUUCCUUUUCUUUUCUUUUUUUCACCUUUCUUUUUUCUUGAGGAAGAAUCAAGAAAAAGAUGGGAUCUUUUUGACAGCUUUUGGGUAGUGAGGUGGUUUGGUGAGAUGGGCUUUGCUAGCUCAUGAAAUUCAGGUGAAGAGAUUUUGAGGAAAUGGAGAUGGUGGCGGUUGGUAGGUUUUUGCAGAGGCGUAUUGAGUCUGUUUUCAUGGAGGUGAGGAGUGAAAGAGUGAGGAAAGGGGGCCUUUUUGCGAAAUGGUGAAGGGAUUAAAGGAUGGAGACAAGAGUUUUGGGUGUCAGAACAAAGCAUAUAGAUUAGGAGAUUAGCUGAUUAUUAGGAAUUAGAAAGUGAUGAAAGGGAGAGAUGGCAGAACACACUACCCUGACAGAAAUGCCCUUGUAUUGAGAAAAUAGGUUAUGAACACUGUCUGAUUAUGUGACGUACCACCAUAUUUAGUAGCCACAUAAGUACCAUGAUGCAAGGGGAUGUGAAAAAAGUGAUAAUUGGUGGUGUACAUUUCAUUUUCAUGUGAGUGAUGUAUAUGUUACUUGUUUUACAAGUGAAUUUGUAGAAUUAAUCUACCUAAGUAAGUAUUUAUUAUUUAUUGAAAUGAUGUGUUGUUUUGAGAAAGAUGCAAAGCAUACGUUGCGAAAAUAUAUUGACAUAUGAGCUGGAUUUUGAAAUAGAUAUAAAAAAAAAUUUUAAAAUUAACUAUGUGAUUGAAAGUUUUGAGAACGAGAUAUGACAUUUUAACAUUUUGUUAUAGUUUUUACUAAUAUUUUGCUAUGUAUUAAAGUAACACGUGACCCUUUAUUUAUAUUUUCCAAUCAUAUAAAGAUUACUAAUACAUUAUUAAGAUCAAUUUAUGUAAUACGAAAUUGAGACCGAGGUUGUUACAAUGUUUUAAAAUGACAAUUUUUUUAAAAAUAUUAACUUGCUUAAAUAUAAAAACACUCAAAAAAGUAUAAGUAAAUCUUAUAUAUACUGAUAGUAUAUACAUUAUUAUGAUUAGAUACAUGCAAUAUAUGCCAAAUUUAAUUUUAAAUUAGUUAUUAUACAUUUAAAUGACGAUAUAGUCACUGUCAAUACAUAAAAAAUUAAUAUGAAAAGUAUAUUCUAAAAAAUAUCUCACCAAUAGUAUUCCAUCACCUCCAUCACUCCAUUUUUCUUUCCCUCCCCGAGCCCCCACUCUCUCUUUCUCCUCUCUCUUCUCCGUAACCUUCUCACCCUUUCCUCUGUUCUUUUUUUUCAUACUACCACUCUCUUCUCCACCUUCUUCCAUGCUCCCUUCUUCUCCCAAGAUCUGGUCAUGACCAAACGAUCGAUAAUUCUUGAUUAUUAAGUGGCUUAAAUGACAAAAUGAAAUAGUAUACUAUCAUUAUUUUGUAUUCAAUUUUUACUUUUUAGUAGGUAGAAGUGUUUGGAUAUAAAUUUAUAUCUCGAAUAAUAUUUUGAUUGCACAUACCAUUUUAUAUUUUAAUCAUUUUUUAUUUCAUAUAUAUCAUAUCAUAAAAAAGUGUUCCGUAUUAUUUUCAAAUAAUGUUUACAAGCAAUCUCCUAUCCUAACACAAUCAGUGCUUUUAGGGUUAGUGAUGAGUUAUCGAAGGAAAAGGACUAAAUAUGGUAAAGGAUUAAAGUAUGGUGGUGACAUCGAGUUGAAGACUUUCUAUUGAACAUGUUAAAGCCCUAUGUGGAAUAAUACAUUAAGUAAUGGACAAUGCACUUAGGUAGUCAAACUAUGCUUAUAUACACUCAAAAAAAUAUGAGUAAAUCUUAUAUACAAUAAUAAUAUAUGGACUAUUAUCAUUAAAUGCAUGAAAUAUAUGCCAAUUUUGAAUUUUCAACUAGUUAUUACACAUUUAAAUGAUGGUGUAUUGUAUAUACUAUUAAUAUAUAGAAAAUUAAUCCAAAAAGUAUAGCCUAAAAAAUAUCACCAAUAUCGUUCCAUCACCAAUGCUAUUCCAUCCUUAUCCUUUCCCUCCCAUUCCUUCUCCUCUCUCUAUUCCAUCACCUUCUCACUCUUUCUUCUCUUUUUUCCCACUACCACUCCCUUCUCCACUCUCUCUCAUGCUCCAUUCCUCUCUCCAAAUCUGGUCAUGACCAAAUGAUGGAUACAAUCAUAUGAUAUUCUUGACUAUUAAGUGGUUCAAUUGAGAAAGUGAGAUAGCAUACUAUUAGGAUUUAUUUUGUAUUCACUUUUUACCUAUAAGUAGGUAGAAGUGUUUGGAUACAAAUUUAUUUCUGAAAUAAUAUUUUGAUUGCAUGAUAAACAUAUUUUUCACUUACCAUUUUUUUUUAUCUCACAUACAUUAUAUCAUAAAAAGUACUAUAGUAUUAUUUCAAAUAAUAUUUACAAAUAUUCUCCUAUCCUAACACAGCCAGUACUUUUCGAGUUGGUGAUGAGUCAUCGAAGCGAGAGGACUCGAUAUGGUAAAGGAUUAAAGGUUGUUGAGAUAUCAAGUUGAAGACUUUCUAUUAAAUUUGUUAUUAAAUUUGUUGAUGCCGUAUGUGGAAUAAUACAUUAAGUGAUGAAUGAAGGUGGAUAUUCUCUAAAAAGAUGCUCAAGAAAGAACAACGGCCACCCCAUCCCAUAGGACAUGGCCACAAAUAGAAACAUGCAUAAAAAAACACUCAAAUCAUGUCGUAUAAUCUAUAAUGGGUAAUGUAUGUUAUUGUGAACAUUACUUAAAAUUGAAAUCAUUUCGAUUGAGUACUAGUACAAUAAUCACUACCCCCUAUGAAUUUCAUUUUCUGUCGUUCACAUUUAAUCUUUUUUAUGGUCAAAGACCUUAGUCUAUGAAUUCAUUUCCCUAUAUUGACACGCUAAUUAUAAUUACCAUUUUCUAAAGAAAAAGUGACAUGGAGGCUAGCCACUAAUAAGACAAACUCUUAAAUUUUUGCUAACCAUUUUCUAAUUGUCAAGGUUCAACUUCACACCUCUAUAAUCUAUGAAUUUUUCCAACCAGAUCAUUGAUGAGAAAAUACACUUUUUCACAUAUAGAGCCUGUACAAUUCAUUUUAUGGGUUAAAUUUUUUUCAAACAAAUAAUAUUAUCAUAACAAUAAUUUUAAUGUCACAAUAAUAUCAGUGAAUUGUCAAAACUCCCAAAAAUAUGUCCAAAAUUGUCAUUGUAUUAUACUGCUGUGUUUGCGUAAGAGUAUAAAUUUGUCAUAUGAUAUAAUAAAAGUACAUAAAUUAUUGCUUUAAAUGGCAAGUCAGUAAUAAGCUCCUUGGAUUUUCUAAGCGGAUUCAAGGAUGUUUUGGUCACUUCAAGUAAAAAGAUGACGUCCUCAGCUUGGAUGUACGUCAAAGGACAAACUUGGCACAAUGACUUAAAAUCGAAAAAAUAGGAGGUUAAUUAAGCGGGUUAUCACCGGACACCUCAAAAAAAAAAAAAAAAAAAACUAAAUUUGUGGUCCUGUGGAGGAUGCAUUUUGUUGUCCUGUGCAUCUUUCAACCCUCCAAUUAGAUUUGAAUUUUUGAUCUUUCGCUCUAAAAUUUAAACAGGGAGGCAAGUUUAAAAGUCAAAACGCGAUUUGAUAUGGAAAGCUGGGACCUUCUGGUCGAACAAUUCUUAGCUGUAAAGAUCUUCGAAUUUACUGGAUUGCAUGAGCCAUCAAUUUUUUUUCUUCUUCUUGACAAGAUAUAAGGCCUUGCUUGGAUUGCUGUUUUCCGUAGAAAAAUUUUGUCAUUUUCCGUGAACACAUUUUCUUAUUACAUUUUUUCCUCACAUACAUCAAAUCGCUACAGUAAUUUUUCCAUGAAAAAUGACGGAAAAUACAAUCCAAACGGGACCUAAGUCUUUCUUUGCAAUACUCUUACUUUACAGUAUGGAAUGGAUUCAAAAGGACCAAUAAAAAUUUGAAAGGAGUUAAACUAUCAUCGAAUCAGAAUCAGACAAAUGCCCGGUGCAUUCUCUGGCAGUAAAAUUUUUCAGAAACAUCUAGGUAAGAGUGCAAGUUUAGAUGAAAAUGUAUUGCAUGAACCAUCAAUACUUGUGGUUGAAUUUACGUAUUUUUUUUAAAAUUGAUAUUUGUACCUUCUAAAGUUAGGACACUCCAAUUCGCAAAGUACAAAAGCAAGCUUUUACAACCGUACAUGUUGUAACUCUUUAGUGUAUAAGACAAAAUAAAAGUAUUUUUGUUUUGACGUUCAAUCGCAAGUACAAAAUAACAAAAACAUUAUUGUGCAAUCUCUGGAAAAGUGAUCCAGCAGCUUAUCAUAAGACAUGAAUUUUUGUCCAGAAACGGAAUUAAGUUGUGUUUGGAUUACAUUUUUCUAGAUUUUUUGUAAAAAAAAUUACUGUAGCGAUUUGAUACAUGUGAGAUAAAAAUAUGUUUACGGGAAACGUAGCAAUUUUUUCAAAUUAAUUCUGUUUCUGGACAAAAAUUCAUGUCAUGCGAUUUAUCUUUGAUUUUGCUUCUUUUUCCAGGGGAUGUAUGCACAUUACUUCCCUUCUCAUAGAGCUGACCCUUUAACCAACAUGAGACAGUGAAUGAAGAAUAUUUGGAAAAGGAAAUUAUAAUUUCGAAGAAUAACAUCCCUUUUUGCACAUUCUUAUUCUAAAAUCAUGUCAUAUGAUGGAUUUAUGGAUGGCAACAGUGCAGUUUUGGGACGAGUCUCUUGCUCCGUUGUCAAAUAACUCUUCUUCCCCGUCUCACCCCCACUUCCCCGUCCCCUUCCGCCCCACCCCUGUCCUGCUUUCCCCACAAGCGCCUGCUGGGGAAGGAAAACACCACCAAUCGUCCACGAUAUUCAGCUGAAGGCCCAUGGCCUUGUAUUCUGCAACGAGCAUCGAGUUGCGUUUUUUUUUUUUUUGGGAAGAUAACAACACAAGCUACAGAUCAGGUGCACUUUUGAACGCGGAGAACAGGUAUGCAUAUCCAAGUAUUCUCCAACAAGUCUGAAAUCUAUCAACUUCCAGUUUAAAAACCAUGUUCCUUCUUGGUGUACUCAAAACGAGUCAAUACGGAUGGAUAUCUGAACACGGAAACAAAUAGGCCCAUGGAAGACUAUACCGAGAGGUCACUACCUAAGUUGCUUUAGCAAAUACUCCCAUUUGGAUUGUUUUUUUUUUUUUUUCAUAGUAAAAUGUACCGUAUCGAUGUGAUAUAUACGAGUAAAAAAGUAAUUAAAAAAUAUGUUCAUGAUAAAUACAAAAAUUUUUUUAUUAGAAAACUACAAUCCAAACAUAGCAGCUUAUGUGUAAUAAAAAACAGUAGUGUGAUAGCAAUCCAUGAAUAGCAAGUGUGGUACAAUAAUCACAACUGCUACUACAGCUAGAUUAUUAGUUAUGUAUAACUAUUAGUUAUUUGGAUUAUAUACAUACAUACAUAUAUAUAUAUACACACGCACACACAUGUACAUAUAUAUAUAUAUAUAUGUGUGUGUAAUUUAAUUUAAUUUAAUUUAAUUUACAUGAGAGAUGGGGUUAGGGAUGGAGUGGAGUAUGCUCCCCCGCCUCCUACCCUAUUUAGCGAGGGGGGGAAGGGGGGGAGAGAAAAUUUCUCCGUAUUCCUACUCCUUGCCCCAUUUUUUCUUGCGGGCACCUGUUUCCAUUGUCAUUCGUAUAUAGGCUAAGAAUAUGUUGUACAUGGAUAAUUUUAUUGAUGGAACAGUAUUCAGUACUGUUAUAUCAUACCCACACACAGACACAACAUAUAGGUGGUAUGUGUUGGAUGCUAUCAGAUUGAAUAUGUUAUGGAAUAUAUGUUAUUGAGUUGGAUGCUAUUAGAUUAUGCGAAGCAGGCACCCUUUCUUGUUAGCAAGUGGACAAAUUUAAUGUUUUGUGUUUCUUGGUGAUUUUUUUUCUUUUAUUUCCAUUCAUUUUUCACUUGCUUAUCUAUAAUAAAAUUUAAUCAAUCUAUUAAUUUCUUACUUUAGAUAUUUCUUUACUAAUUCUGUUGUACUUUUUCUUUUUUAUCACCAACCCAUAGUUUUCCUUUUUUAAUUUUGUCCAAUCAUGUGUCUAUUCCUAAUGUUUAGCUUCAUUUUUUUUUAUUAUUGUUACCAAAGUUUGGACAGAUUUUUAAUUUUUUCAUACUUUCUUAUUUAUGUUAAACUCCAUUCAAUCUUGAUUUAUAAGUCAAUCAAUCCAUAGUUUUCCUUUAUAGCUCUCUCCAACCACGUUAUCUAUUCCUAUUAUUUGGUUUAAUUAUUGAUUAAUACUUCUAAAACAUUGACAGCUUUCACUCUUCAAUCAUUAUGUAUUCCCAUUUAAGUUGUACAAUUAACUAUUCCUUUUUCUAAAAUUUCUCCCAUGAACAUUAUGUUUUUUCCUAUUGGAAUCCAAUUUCUUUUCAACUUAUUAUAGGCCAAAGUUGUGUCCAUACAAGCACGGAUUUGAAAAAGUCCAAUAAAUUAAAAAUUGCCUCCAAAAUUAGUUUUUUUUUUCAAUUUGAAAUUAUUUGAGAAAAUAAUGAAUUCCUCUAUCCAUUAAUUUCUUUUUUUAAUUAUUUACUUGUCAAAGAAUCAAUUUUUAAGUGGAUUUGUGUAUUAUUUCCUUACAAAUAGCGAUACUGUACUUAUCUGUCUCUUAUUUUAUAAUCCAUUCUUACCAAAAUUUAGAUUGUUCACUCUCUAAUUUACAAAAUUGGAGCAACUCCAUAUAUUUUUCAUUACGAUUAGUCAAUUACAAAUCAAUUGCAUUCUAAUACAAUUCGUCCAUUCUCCAAUUUAAGAAAUUAAAGCAAAAAUAGAUUCUAUGUCAUUAUAAUUAGACAAUUUGAAAUUAAUUACUCAUUUUUUACAAUCACAUUCAUAUGGCGCUUAUUUGGAUAUCUUUUCAAUUAUUUUUCUUUGAUGGUUUUUUCUUAUUAAAUUCUUUUCUUUACCAUUUUUUAAGAUUAAUCAAAUAUUAAUAUAUUCCCUGACAUGUCAACAGCUCUCAUAAGAUAUUAUUUUCACCAUUGUUUAGAGUGAUCAAAAUCAAAACACGAAUUAAGAUUUAUUUGGAACUAAUUAUUAUUUUGUGCAUGAAUCAAUUAUUUUUAUUGUGUCUGGUUUCAACGUUGGUCUUAUAUUUAAUUCUUUUGUAUCAAUAUUUUACCAACAUUGUUCAGUUCUCUAUUUGGUAAAUUUCUGAGUUAGAAGGAUUUAAUAAUACCAAGUGGGCAUUCUUUCUUUUCCUUUCUUAGUUAAAAAGAAUCAAUAGUUAUUCUUCACUUACUUCCCUUGAUAACGAGUGGACAACUGGAUGUCCUUUCGUGCCACUACGUGACCAUUAUUAACGUCUAUGUCUUGGUUUCUUUCUUUUUUUUUUUGGUAAUAAUCGAAUCAUUGCUUUUUUACUUUCUUAUUUUUAGUUAGUGUUCCAGAUGCAUACAUUAUUUCCUUACUAUUUACACAUUAGUAUUAACUAUUAAGCAUGACUUUUUUUUUUUUUUAUAAUUUUAAUCUAUCAACCUAUCAUUUGACUUUUCUACAUUUUCUCCAAUCACAUGAUAAAUCAUUUUUUCUGCUUGUGAUAAGCAUUUGCAAUUCCUUGUAUCUUUCUAUUACUUUACUCCAAUGGCUUGAUUAUUAUUUAUCACUAGCUUUAGAAUUUUUACAUUUUUCUUUCAUUUAUAUUCCCGAUUUUUAUUAGGUUGUUUAUUAGUAAUGUUUUUCUCCUAUAUUUAUUAUCUUUUCUUCUCCUAUAUAUAUAUAUAAUUUGAUAGAUGACCAUACCAUAGCAAGAUGGUGCUCUUGCUUGCAGCUUUAGUUUAUCUUAAAUUGUGCAGAAGUUAUGUUACUUUAUCAUGCCUGCCACUGCCAAAUUGAUGUUCUCCCUUCCUCCACCCAAUUCAAUUAUGUGUUUUAGCUCGAAUCACAGCUGCAGGCCAUUUAUGUCCUCAAAUGGAUAGUUAACCAUUUUUCCGUUGCAUAUACAUAUUGGCUUGAGUCUCUUGUGGUCUAUUUACACAAGGGUUGCUAGUGUUUUCUGUUGAAAGCAUGGUCUCGCAGGAUGCUAAUGGCGCACCGGAGUGGCAACAAGCCAACAACUAUAAACUCUUUGGAUUAUGAUCAAGGAUACAGCCCGUAAGUGAUUACAGUAACCCUUUUCUUCAAUUCAGCUCCAUACUCGAAAAAACGAAUGCCUGCAAAUGUUAUUCUGUUUGACUAGGAUUUCACAAUCAUUUUCACUGCUGAAUUUGUAUAUUUAUACUCUAAAGAUGGCCUUGCUUGGAUUGAAGGUUUUCGUCGGAAAAUAUUAUCGUUUUCCGUGAUCACAUUUCCCUAUCACCUUUUUCCCUCACAUAUAUCAAAUCGCUACAGUAAUUUUUCCAUGAAAAAUGACGGAAAAUGCAAUCCAAACACAACCGAAUUAAACUGCUGAAAUUCUGAAAGUCUUUCUACGUGGGAAAGUGCAUAACGAACUAUCUAACAUGUCUCAUUUCUGUUUCAAGACUGAUUAAAGUUUGGUUUUUUUUCAAGUGCUAAUGGGUGAAGUAAUCAAGAAAAUGUUUGUCAAUGUUAUUAUUCACCAAGAUUGAAAGCACUUAUGCGGAGAUGCUGGUUUCACUUUCAUCCUAUUCUGCUGAAGUACCGUACUGGCAAGAACAGUAGCAACAGCGAAGUAACUAGGCAUGGACUUUUAAAAAAGGUCUCAUGUGGCAAGUGAUUGCAUUUUGUUUCUUUGUAUAGUGAGUGAACUACUUUAGGAAGAUUGACUAAGAGCCUAUUUAGAGUUUUUGUGAAGAAUUCUGUAACAAUUGAUAUAUAUGAGAUAAAAAAUAACAAGAAAUAUGUUGAUAAAAGAUGUAGAAUUUUUUUGAACAAUCUAAAUAAAGUCUUUAACUAUUUGACACAAAUUCUGACACUUACACAGAAGUGCUAACUAGCUCACUUUACUAAAGAAGAGUAGAAGAUCCAUCGCUACAGUUAUUUCUGGGGCACAAAAUUUCAAAAUCAUGUAAUUUAAGAUUGUUGUUUGAAAUUUGCAUACAUUUUUUGUACUUGGGCAAAAGCUGUACAGUGAACCCUAGAUCUUUGCCCCUUCUCUUCCGAUUUCUGUCAUUUGGGUUGCUGCUGAAGGUGUUUGUUUUCAGGCUGUAGCUUGAGCUCAAAAACCAACCACUGCCCUUUUCUUCUUUGAAGCUGAAACAUCCAAUUACAGAGCCAAACUUCCUCUGAUGGAAGGCAAUGAAAAGAUGGCCAUAGGCCAACAAAUCCCUUCCUCUUCAGUGCAAGUUUCAGACCACCCGCUAAUACUGCCGGAUCUUCCCUUUCAAGUCAUCACUGAGAUUCUCGCAAGGCUACCUGUGAAGUCACUCAUGAGAUUCAAGUGCGUUUCAAAAUCGUGGCUUUCCUUGACGUUAAGCCCUCAUUUCAUCAAGCGUCACCUCAGUUUCAGUACAUCAAAGGACAGAGAAUACUUGCUAUUUAUAGACUAUAAUUCUGGCAGGUUCAAACACUGUUCUCUUGCUUCUUUGUUGUAUGAACAGCCUAGUGAUGCAGUUGAAAUAGUUUGUCCCCAAUUGGAAUGCCGUGAUCUGUCAGUUUUGUUAGUGGGAUGUUGUAAUGGGAUGAUUUGCAUUUGCACUAAUAGAGAAGGUUUCGUCUUAUGGAACCCAUCUACCAGAAAAUCAAAGACAUUGCCUAAUUUUAGUUUUGAAAAAACGAGUGAGCAUAAAUUCUAUGCUUCAUGUGGUUUUGGAUACGACGAGACUAACGAUGAUUAUAAAGUAGUGGCAGUUACCUGCUACUGUGCUGAAGAUUGGGAGCCCUUUGCUUCUGAGGUUAAAGUUUAUAGUACAAAAGCUGAUACUUGGAGGAGAAUUGGGGAUUUUCCUGGUGGUUAUCCAAUGGACGGAAGCAGGUACUGUGGUACUUUUGCGGCGGGGAAGGUCCAUUGGGUAUUGAACAGAGCAUUUUGUCCAUAUGUUGUUUUUCUUGAUUUAGCUACAGAGACAUAUGGAUCUCUUGAUUUAGCUGGAGAUGCGAUCAAAUCGAAUCAUGACAGUUUUGUAACAGACAUACAAACUGUUGGUGGGAGCCUUUAUUUCUUUUGCAGGAAUUAUGUGCAUGGUCUUGUAGAUCUCUGGGUUUUGAAGGAAUAUGAAGUUAUAGAAUCUUGGACAAAGGUGGUUUCUGCCUUGAGCAACGACAAGAGGUAUUUUCUUUCAGUAUUGUACCAAUUGGAGAAUGGUAAACUUCUAGUGGUGCUUGAAAGUGAUGUCAGAGUCUUGAAUCCCAAAAAUAACAAAUCCAGGCGUCUCCUGAGGUCUGUCUACACUAGGUCUGCGAGUAUUUAUGUUGAAAGCCUAGUUUCGCCCGGUUCAGUUGAUGCAACAACUAUGAUGAGUGGACUACAGUUGAGGACACUUAAAGUAAGUAAUUACAGUUUUUUUUUCUAAUUCAGCUUGUACUUGAAAAAAGAAAACUUGUACGUGUAAUGUGAAACUGCUGAGAAUUCCUUAGUAUUUUCACUAGCAUUUUUAUUUUUGUUGCAGUUUUCAAUUCCCAAUAAGUGAAAUAGUUUAGAAUUGAAUGUGAAUAUUCUUGCUUACCACUUAAAUUAUGAAAGUCUUGCAUAUCAGAAAAUUGAAGAUUUUGAUUUUCUUGAUAGUAGGGCGCCAUUAAGCUUCUGAAGUGGCAGAUUAUUUUGGAAGUUGUGCGGCAUUUGAGUAACUUAAAGAUUUUGAUGUUUGUCCUUUCAAAUUUCGAUUUCUAACUGAUAUACACAUAUAGAUUAACUGUAACAUUACAGAUGAUUUGGAGGUAGUAUUGUCCAGAAUUCAUAGUUUACCGCAAUCAUGUUUGCAUUAUCAAUAUUUCUUGCUUUCUCUUGCUUUUUUUUUUCUUUAACUGUUUCUGUUAAUACCUCAAGGUUUCUCUUUAUGAUUCAUGUUUAAGUUAAGCUCAUGUAAAGCUAUUCCUCAAAUCUGCAAAUUUUCUCUACUUGGAUCUAAUGCAGUCUUACAUCUCUAUUCCGUAAGUGCUAGUUUGAGACCUUAAAUAAGUUGCAGUAUCCAUUCAACCAAGUUUGAGGUGAGAAACAAAUGAUAUAGCCUGCAAAGCUCUAAAGCGACACAUAGAAAUCAGUUUCAAACGUAGAGGAGAAAACACACUUUAUACUGUGUUGUCUGUUAGCACGCAUGAUAAAUUUCCAGAAAUUGUUGCAAGCACUUUAAUUUUCUAUAUCUAAAUCACAUAGAGAAUCACUAUUAUUUUUCCCUGAUCCUUAAUUUGAUGCUUUAGCUUUGUUGGUCUGUUACAGCUUUCAACUUAUGUUUCAUAAAUUCUGUGUCUUUCAAUUUUGAAUUUCUUCUUUUUUUUUUCUUUUCCUUUUUUUUGGUCGGUUGGUUGGAAUUACUAAAGCAAACCAUUGGUUUUCUAGACAGAUUCAUUCCCUUAUUUGGUCACUUGUUGGAUAGGCGUUGAUGUAACAUGGAAUUAUACUCCAUGCUUGGUAGCAGAAUCAUUUAAGGACUUAGAUUAGCUUUGUCCCAUCGAAAGGGCUAAGUGGGGCAUGUUUAUGUGAGCAAAUUAGUCAGAAGAGUUGAGUUAAAGUUUAGUUUUGCUGCUCCCUUUCUUUGAGUUCAUUUUAUGACCUCCUUAAAAAAGAGUGCUCUUAAUGGUGCUUGUUGUGAGUCAUCGGCGUUUAAACAUCAUAGAGAAAGAAAUUACUGUUGAAAUGGCCUACUCAUAGAUAUAAAAUGGCAGUUUGCCCCCCUAGUUUACAUUUGUUCCAAUACCUAGGACUGUUAAAGUAAAAGGUGUUUUCCAGUUCUUGGCUUUGCAAAACGGAAUUGGUGUUUCUAGCUCCUAGGGAAAUGCUUAACUCAGCUACAGUUAUUAGAAGUUUAUUACUUUCUUGGCUUUUGCAUUUCCACGUCCAGCAACUUCUUACUAAAUGCUUGCAUACGUAGUAAUCUUAGACCUGACGCAUAUCGCUGAAUCAGCUUUGGGAAUCUCUUUCCUGUAUGCAUAGCAUUCAUCACAGAAAAAGAAUGUCAAUAUUUCCUCCUUGACUAUCAAUCUGAUUCUCAGGAAAUUGUGAAUUAUAUGUGCAGGCCUCAACAAGCAGGACACAAGACUAAGAAUCUGAUCAUGGACUAUCAGGGCUUGAACUGUCGCCUGAAAUUUAAGCAUGGAGAAUGUAAUUGGGUAGCUGAUGUUUUGUCAUAGCAUGCUCUUGGUAGGUUGAUCCUUUGAUGAAGUUUGUGUCACUUUUGCAUGCCCACCUGCUUAUCUUUUGCCUAAUUUGCUUAAUGAUGUAUCAGACUUAAAACACCUACAACAGUGUAUUGUACAAGUUGUGUUUGAGUAAUGAACUCCUUGUUUGGUAGUAGUAUCGUCGUUACUGUAUUGGUUUAUCUCAACUUUUCUAGUUAUUCCGAUGUGGUCUUUUUCCUUUUGAUUCUUCUCUCUCACCAUUGCUCCUUGCAGCUGAUACCAUCAAGACUUUUCCUACCUUUUCCACGGCUAUACACUGCGUAUCAUGUAUGUUUUAGACUUUUGAGUCAAAAGAGUGGCACUGAAUUGUUUUCUCAGUUCUUGAAUGUUGAAAGUUGAAAAAACCAGUUCAAUCCUGCAGCAUCCUCUCUUCAGUGUUCUUAUUUUCCCUCAUCUCCAUCAAUUAUCUAAUAUUUCAUAGAUUCGAUAACAGAUCAACGUAAGGCUGGAUGAUUACAUUCUUAAUCUUCGAAAUCAUGCUGCAAUAACUUUAUCUUUCUAAGUAUAUAGAGACUGCAUGUGCAGUAAUGUUUCUGCUACUUUCAAGAAAGGACAUUUUGAGCACUAGACAAAAAUUUCUUCUUCAAACUGUUUCUGAAUAUCCCGUGAAUGUUACCUUCUAUGUACCCACCUAGGAUGGUAUCACAUGUUGCAGUUGCUUUUGUAUUGGUGCGAUGAAGUAUCUGUGGUAUGAGAUGGUAUCCCAUGCGGUGAUGAGCCACGUUUUAAGUACUUUAAUUAUAUAUUGAUUUCAGAUUUGAUUCGUAUUAGUAUUACAAACAAAUUCUUGAAUGACCAGUAAGGUUGAAAUGGCCUCGUUAAUUCCACAAGCCUCGCUAAUUUUGCCAGUCGAAAAUGGAUGGAUGAUGCGUAUGGAAUAAUAUUCAUCAGCGUUUAAUGCAAAAAAAAAAAAAAGUUUCUUUGUAUAUUUAUGACUUGUCUUUGCGUACGGAAUAAUAAUGUGGUUGAAAAUAUAAAAUGGUGAAUUGAGAAAUGUAUUUAUGAUACAAGUGAAAUAUUUAUUUGGAUUAAUCUUUCCUACACUGACAGUGUAUACACUAUCAGCGUUGGAUGAUUGACAACUAUGCAAAAUUUGAAUUUGAAAUUCAACUUUUACACAUAUGUUAUGAAUACAACGAUGAUAGUGUAUAUACCGUCAGUGUAGAAAAGAUUUAUUCAUAUUAUUUAGGAUAAUUCAGCAACUCAAACGCACUCAAUAUCAAUUAAUAUUUUGUACCAAUGAGGCCGUUUGAAUUGUUAUAUUUUGAAAUUUUUACAGAAAAAUAUACUGUAGCGAUUUGUGAAGUAAAAAGAUGAUUAGAAAAUGCGUUUAUAGAAAAUAUACAAAUUUUUGGGAGAAAAAUUACUUUCCAAACAAGGCCACGUUUCUAUCAGAUCCUGUGUCUAACCAUCACGCUUCAUAAGAUUUAGUUAUGUCAUGGUUUUUUUUAACUAUGAAAGUCAGAUUGACGUUAUCAUAAUCAAAGUUACACGUCGUAGAAUUGUUCAACAUAAAGAGUCUCCCCUUGUAUGAAGAUUGAGUCUUUAGUUUGACGUGUUCAAUACUUCAACAUAAAGAGCCAGCUCAAGUGCAGGACUCUGACGAAUUCCAGUUAUAGUUUUCAACGCGGUGUAUACUGAUGAUACAAACAAUAAUAUAAGCUGAAUUUAGUUUCUGUAGAUGAAUGCAACGAGUAAAUUUAUAAGUUCUUCCUUCCUUUGCAGCAGCACAAACCUCCAGAUGGAAAGCAAAGGAAAUGGAGCCACCAAUCCCCACCAAUCCGAAGAUUCAAACCAACCCUUAAUAUUGCCUGACCUCCCCUUUGAAGUAAUCACUGAGAUCCUCCUAAGGCUACCAGUCAAAUCCCUUUUGAAAUUCAAAUGCGUUUCGAAAUCGUGGCUGUCCCUAAUCUCAAGCUCUCAAUUCAUCAAAGAUCACCUCUGUGCUUUCAGCUCAUCAGAGGAUGGAGAACAACUACAGCUGCUCACUGUGGGAAUUGAUCUCACAGAUUGUUAUCUCAAAGAUUGCUCUCUUGCCUCUUUGUUGCAUGAACGGCAGCCUGCAAAUGCAGCUGAGGUUGAAAUUGAUUGUCCACCUAGUCUUCAACUGAGUAGGUACUUUAACGUUGUGGGAUGCUGUGAUGGGCUAUUUUGCAUUGAUUGCAUGAGAACAGGUGUGUUCUUGUGGAACCCAUCUACUAGAAAAUCCAAGAAAUUGCCCAGUUUUAGUAGCCCAACAGUGGACCUACUGAAGGAGGAAGAUUACUACCAAGUAUGUGGUUUCGGAUAUGAUAAGGAUCGUGAUGAUUAUAAAGUGGUGAAAGUUGUCUGCUCCUUAGAUGAAGACUAUCGUCCCUCAGGGUCUGAAGUUAUAGUUUAUAGCGUAAAGACUGAAUCCUGGAAGAGCAUUGGGGAGUUUCAAGGUGGUUUCCCUAGUGUGGGGGGCUGCGGCUGUCUCGUCAAUGGGAGGCUCCACUGGGAAUUGCAUAAUGCAGGCUGGGAUUUCAAGGUUGUUUUUCUUGAUUUAGCAACAGAGACGUUCGGUUCUCUUGACUUGGCACUAAAAACAAAUGGAGGGACAGGGAUAUCAGGCCGUAAUGGUUUUCGAUCUGAUUUGGGAACUUUUGGAGGGAGUCUUUGUUUCGUUUGUAAGAAUUAUAGGGAUCAUUUUGUAGAGUUGUGGGUUAUGAAGGAAUAUGGGGUUGGAGAAUCUUGGACUAAGGUCCUUAGUGUCCCGGUUGACAAGACAAGACUUGUGUUUAGAGCACUGUGCAUUCCAGGCAGUGAUAGAUUUUUGGUGGAGCUUAAAGAUGAACUCAGACUCUAUGAUCCAAAAGAUGACUCCUUCAGGCUUCUCCCAUGGUCUGGUAAUCAUACUGUUCCUAGAAUUUUUGUCCAAAGCCUGGUUUCACCCAACCCAAAUGCAGCUGCAGAGAUGCAUCAACAACACUAGUAGCCAGGAAACUUAAUUACAAGGGAUUGCUAAUAUUCAAUUUUAUCAAUAUUUGGGUUUUUUUUUAAUACAUUUUUUCAAGUUCCUAUGCUUGAUACAGUUGAGAAACUCUUUCUGAAGUAUUCUUGCUUACAAUCCCUUAAAUGAUGAGAAGAGACUUCAGUGGAAUAUGUAAUGAAGAUGAUGUUACUGGCUGUUUUCUUAUCCUUAAACUCAUUAAUUAGUCCAACAUGGAUAAUAAAUUUUUCUUGCUUAGUGUUUAAUUUAAGUGCAGGGUAUAUCCUGGUGCCAAGUUUACAUGUAAGGGUAUUGACCUCCAUGCUAUCGUCUACAUCUUGAUUCAAUAAAGAAAGAAAGAAAGCAUCUUUGGAUAGAGGAUUAUUUGAAUAGUAUUUUCUUAAAAUAAUAUUAUACCACGUUCUAUAAUAUGAUAUGCACGUAACAUUAAAUGAAAAUUGUGAAAAUAAAAAGAUUAUUAAAAAAUUUGUUCAUUGUACAAAUAAAUAAUUCUUUACAAAUAAUGAACAAACCAAAUGAAAUAAUAACACGCAUGAAAACCCUGAAAGAAUGAGGGAAAAAAAAAGAAGAAAAGGACUUACACAGAAAUAAAUAGGAUGAUUAGGAGGGAGUAAGUUUCGCGGCUAAUUUAAUCCCUAAGGUAUCCAGUUGGCUGUUAAAAUAUUUGAGUUGACGAAAAUGCCAUUGAUUUUAACCAAUUACACAUUUGAGUUGAUGAAAAUGUAUUUAGGCGCUCGGCUACAUCUUUUCGUUAUAUUUUAUAAGUAAAUUUUAUAUACGAUGACAGUGUAUACACUAUUAUAAUUAAAUUCAUAAUAUGUGUGUAAUAGUUAAAUUUUAAAUUUAAAUUUUGUACAGAUAUCAUUUAUUCAAUACUGACUGUACGUACAUUAUUAUGAGUGAAUACAGGAAAGAUUAAUCUAUAUUUUAUAUACUUUUAGGACAUGACAUCUGCAAAGAUUAUCAGCAUGAUGAUGAGUUAAUAAAGUUCGGUCUGCUUAGGCAUCAUUAUGUGGACCAAUCCAAUACGUUGUUUAACACUUUAGCGGACAGUCGAGACGAAUUGUCAAUCCAAUACGUCUUUCACCCUCUCCAGAACAAUCCACGGCCCUCUAGCCCGCGGUUUUGCAUCAUCCAUUGGCCCAGUUUUCAAACUUAUCGCCGGAAUGUUUUAGAAAGAAAAAAUUCUUCAAUGCAUCACUUAUAUUUAGUCAAAUAAAUUUUAUCGUCCGUCACUUUUAAAAUAUAUAAUUUUAUGUUUUUUAUAAAAUUAAAGUGGUAAAAUUGAUUCAUAACUUAUGUUUUCAACCAUUUUUCAUCUUGAAUCUCUCAUAUAGACAUUUCUUGGAGGUAUAAAGGUUAGAUCUCUAUUGUAGUUAAAUAAAUGAUUCGAUUCAUAUUAAUUUUUAUUCUUGAAAAAUUAAAACUUGAGCCGAACAUAUUCAUUUUUUCUCCGAAAAAAGUGAAAUGUAAUCUAAUCUGUAUUCGUUUUUACUAUUAAAAAAAAGUUGAAUAUGACCUUUUUGUACUUAAAAAAAUGAUUACAUAUAAAAAAGUAGUUUAAAAUUUAGGUUAUGAUCAAAUUUUGCUAACUUAGAUUUGUAUAGUACGUAAAGUUAUCAUUUUAAAAGUGAAGAACAAAAAACUUUAUUUCAUGAAAUGUGAGUAAUAUUUUGAAGGAUUUUCCCUUUUACAAAUUUUCCCUUUUGGUUUAUUAAAAGAAAAAAACCUUUCUUUCAGGAUGAAGAUGAUUAUUGAAGGCAAAGGGGGAGAAAGGACCCUUUAGGUGACGAAUGCUUAGUGGAUAAAAUACAAGUCUCAAUCAAAUGCCAAAGUGCUCAUUCUGUUCACUUUUGACAUCAAAGUUGAUGUAUAUCACUUAGUUUCAAGACAUCAUCACUAGCCAUGCAACUGCUCCUUUAAUCUUUUUUAACCAUAGUGGUAAUAUGGCCCAUAUGGCUCUACGUUUUUAGUUGGUUCUGUUUGACGUUAGACUCAAAUGAACCUUAGACUAGUUCAACUUAGGAAAGAACCAAAUGGAUCCAGAUAUGGUUUAGAUUUGUUCUAUGAAAAAUUGAAUUAAUAAAAAAAAAGUCUUUUUUCUAUAGGUUUCCUAAUUGAUUCAUUAGCUUGAGUUUACAUUACCAUUAUAUGAAUUGCGAGAUUUUAAAGUGUCAUGGUAGUGCAGUUCUUCUAUUACUAUUAUAUGAUCUAGUUUUAUGCACCGUUGGUUCAAAGGAUUGGAGAUUUCAACAUCAGAAAAAGAAGAUGAAAAUUGCAAUCUUUGCAUCUUGAUGGUCUCAAUACUAGCACAGAAUUUGACAAGUGUCCCUGCAGUCUACACCUGUACACACUCGAAACCAACAAGCAUGACACGCACUCGAUCCCAAACUGGUCCAUUUCCUUUCUAUAUAGCCCUCACCGUUUUCCACAUUUGUUUUCCCAAAGCUUUACACUUUCAAGAUAACCAAACAAAGAACCAUCAAUCUGUUUUUUUAUUUUUGCCUAGUUCUUGACAAAUUAGUGUGCUGUUGCCCGUUGGUUUUGCAUUGCUGAAGUGAAGAUCAACAAAGAACCAAGAAGAAGACAUGGCUAGAACGGUUGGAAGAAGCUUGGCUGCUCCAUUACUGUUUCUGAACCUGAUUAUGUAUUUCAUCGUUUUAGGCUUUGCGAGUUGGGGCCUCAAUCAUUACAUCAAUGGGCAGACUAACCAUCCCAGUAAGCCCUCUAUUCCAUUCUUUCCCAUCCUCCUCCUCCUAUUCAUGCAUGUACACAACAAAAAACAUUAUUGUAAGCAAGGUGUUCAUUCUUUUAGCUUAGUCUCUCAUGUACACAAAAGCAUGUUUAGCUGGUUUUGUACAUUUUUUUCACAAAUAGUAAUAAACUUUGUGGUUCUGGAUCCAAAACAAUUUUCAGUUUUCCUACUAUAUGGAGACAGUUGAAAUAACCGAAAUUACUGAAGAAAGCAUUAUUCCGUUUGGGACUGUUUCUCAAGCUUUGUUUUAAGCACUGCAAGAAAGCAGUAUUUCAUUAGGGACUUUUUCAUGCUUCCUUUUUUUUUGGUUUUUUAAGUUACAUGCACCACUAGGAGCUCAAAAUACAUAUCUCCAGAUGGUCGAAAUGCAAAAUUAUGUUUCAAAACUUUAAAUGAUAGGUGGGCUGCAUGGUUAAUCAUCUAAAACCACGAUAUCCUUUGUCACGUAUGUUUCAGGCUUUGGAGGAAACGGAGCAACCCCGUUCUUCCUGACAUUCGCCAUACUAGCUUCCGUUCUGGGGAUUGCUUCGAAGUUAGCAGGUGGAAACCAUUUAAGGGCUUGGAGAAGCGACAGUCUAGCGGCUGCUGGAGCAUCUUCCUUAGUCGCAUGGGCCGUAACUAUUCUAGCUUUCGGGUAUAAUAUACAAUAUAACAUACUCAAUUUUCUCCAAUCUUAUGAACUCCAGGGUAUAACUUCAUCUUUUUUGCACCGUGGGGUUGUGAAAUAAUGCAGAUUGGCAUGCAAGGAGAUAAAUGUUGGAGGCCGGAGGGGAUGGAGGUUAAAGGUUCUUGAGGGGUUCAUAAUAGCGCUAGGAGUGACUCAAUUGCUCUAUGUGCUGCUGAUCCAUGCUGGGAUGUUCAGCAGCAGAUAUGGUCCAGGGUACAGGGACCCUGACUAUGGUCUUGGUGCACCUGGAACUGAGCCCAAAGGUACCGCAGGUGUUACAGGGUCUAGGGUCUAAUGCAGUUGUCUUUAAAAUGGAUAGUUGUACUUUGAAUAUUUGGCAGUUGUUGCUUGGGCUCUGCAGGAGGACUACCUUUUCUUUUUGGUUGAUUUUGAUGAUUAGGACUAGUACUAGUAUUUCUUGUUAAUUUCUCCGGCGCAGACUUAAAUUUUUUUUUUUUUUUUUUGGCAUGGAACUAGUUGUAGCUUUUUAAUUGAAGUUUAGAUCUUAUAUUAAGUUUGCUAAGCAUGUUUGAUGAGGUUUUGUGAUUGAAGCUAUAUUGAUAAGGGGCUUGGAGUCAGUGCAAUUGGGCUUGCUGUAUAUUUGUUAUACUAGUUAUUAUAUAAUUUUUUAGAAAACAGAUAAGUCACCUCAAUGUGUGUAUAUAGCCUUGUUGCGAGAUUGUUGAAUCAAAUGAAGGUGUUUACCAUAGUAAUUUGUUUCGUGCAUCCUACGUGUUGGCAAGUAUAUUUAUCGAAAAGAAAGAUAAAAGAGCAAAAAAUGAUAUUGAUGUUUAUUUGAUUUUGGUCCGUGAGUUCAUUUUCAUGUUUUAUUAUUAUUAAAAAAUCUUAGUUCACGCGUCUAUGUUUCAUCUAAUCUACCAUGUAUAUAUACACAUUAACAAUUAGUAAAUAUUCUUAGAUUUAUACACUCUCUUUAAUUAAUCUUACCUUUCCAAAAAUCUAAAACCUGAUGUACAUUUUAACGAGUGCCCAAUCGACACCUGUUAGACAGAACUCUUUUUUUUUUUUAAUACAAAAAAGUUUAAAUGAACGCCACACCAUCACCAUUUAAUAUUUAAAUUUACUUUUUAUCUAUGUGUCAUAUAUAUACACCUGUUAGUAUAACAAAUCUUUAUACUAACAUUGUAUAUAAUAUUAAUCCAAAUUAAUAUCAUCGUUUUCUUCACACAUUUGUCCUAGCCACCGCGUAUCUGCAUAUUAUUAGACUAUUCUUGAUAAGUAUUAAGAUUCGCAAGAGUCACAAAAUUGUACAGGAAAUAUGGUGUUGACAUAUUCAGAAUUUCAGUGAAGAAAAAACCAAAAGAAAAACAGAAUUGUUGUUAAGCAAAUUAUUAUGUUUAGUCCUGCAAUUGAUGAUAAUGAAUAUGCAAAGAUGAUUAAAGAUAAUAAGUAUGCAAUAAUUAUAACAUGAGGCAUAUAAUUGAGCAUGAUAUGUGGCCUAUAAAUUGUAACGUGGCACUUCUUCAUGAUGAUAGUAACUGAUCAGCACAGUUUUAUAUUUUUUUAGUUGCCAUUGAAUAUUUUUAAUUAUGUCGGUCAAUUUUCUUUUUUUCUUUUUUGUACUCUUAGAUACUUGUCUCAUUUUCAGAAUUCUCCCAAACACUAGUUCAAGGAACCGCAAAUUCCUAGAUUUAAUUUUUUUUCUUAAUAUUAGAUUUUAAAAAUGUGCUAAGUCGUUUUCUGGAUGCUAAAUCUUGAGAACUAAAAAGCUUCCAUGCACGGGAACUGCACGACAUAAUUUGAGGAUGUCACUGCUUUUGUGGGUGUAAAAUACCCAAGAAGGAGGAGAAAAUUCUUCAUAAUUAUUAUAGUGAAUUCUUCCAAAAUUUUUCCGUGAUAAGUUAGUAAACUAAAGAAUAUUACUGAUAGGAGCCUUCGAGCAUAAACAUUAGGGAACUGGUAAAAAAUUUGAAGCUUAAUCAAAAAACUAAAAGUUUACAAAUUUUCUUGCAGCUACUCUUGGCUAUGACUCUAUUUUCUCUUUUAUACUAGUUUCUUUCGUGUGCAUUUGCAUGGGCACUUUUCUAUGUUCUAUAACUUUAAUUUUUUUGAACAAAAAUGUUAUAAAAAAAAUUAAAAUGCUAUUUUAUAAAAUUUCGUAUACUGAUUGAAAGACAAACAUUAAAAUUAAACAUAUUAAAAAUGGUCAAUUUAUAAAAACUUAAUAACUAGUUUCAAUUGAAUCUCAUCCUGUAAUUCAAUUAUUUUUACUCUAAUUAAUGGUGGCAAGUCAACAUAUAAGUCAAGGAGAUAUAUUAGAAAAUAAGUUUAAUUGAAUAUUUAAUUUAAUCACGCCCAAAAAAAAUUUUAAACCAAACUAAUAGAACUUAUUAUUUGCUCUAAUUAUUAAAAACUAAGAAAAGUAAUUUAGCAGAACUUUUACAACCCCAUGUUUAUAUGAAUAUUAUUAUGAUCUAAAUCGAAUUUAAAUGCACAGAAUAUAAAAAUUAAUAGAAUAUUUUAGGAAAAAAUGACUAUUUAUUCAAUUGAAAUGGAAUUGUAUGAGUAAUAUGCUAAACUUGUGUAGUAUAGCUUCAUUAAAAAAAUGUAAUUAAUAGUACAAAAAUUGCAAGUUCUAUUUAUAGAUUCAUUAAAUGGUCUUGUCGAUUUGAAUUGAAGUCAAGUAGUGCCUGUGCAAGUUUUGUACAGACAUAUACAUACAUUCAUAUUCUUCCAACUCUCCAAUCCUGAACCACCACUAACAUUAUCUUCAACAACAAUUUUGCAUGUUUGCUAUAUAUUCUCCAUCAAAUCGUCAAUUCUGGUCCACCACCAAUGUAAUUGUAUUAACAAAAACAAUAUGGUGCCUUUUUGCUGGUAGAUUUAGUUAGAGGAUACUAUGAUGCCGGGGAUAACAUAAGAUCCCUGGGCAUUUGAUGGCUUUAAACAAUGAUCAUGUUUUGUCACAGUAAAUAAAUUAGAUCAGACAUUGCACGGUUGGCAACUAAUAGUUUUUGAAAAGGAAAGAUGAAAAAAAGAAAGAAGAAGUAAAAUAUGGAAAUUGCUCUCAAAGCAGUUCUUAGGCCUUUGGAUGUUGUCUCAGAUGGCCAUGGCUGCCCUAGAUGUUACAAGCUUGGGCACCUAUACUCAUUAUCAAUAGCCAAAAAAAAAAGUACUAUCACUUUCUCUUGUAGCUAGCUUAAAACGUGACAAUCCAAAUCCAGUAAGCAAUGUAAAAAUGGCCAGCAAAUAUGUUUAUCUAAGACUACCUUUUGGCUGCAUGAAUAUGAUGUUCGUUAUUCACCUCCAAUAAUGGAUCAAUAAUAAGUGUAGUCAAAAUUUCACCACCUACAUUAAUACCAGGCAUGAAAAAAAGCUUAAGUUGAGAUCUCUCACCAAGAUUCUGGGAGUUCAUUCUUUUUUUUUUUUUUUGAUUUCGGAAGUGCCCAAAGAACUCGAACAAAUUUUGUUGGAGCAGGCUGAGCGCCGGAAGUGACAAACUGCAGAGACAUUGAGGAUUCUAUCCAUCACACUCACCGUGGCAAAAAUCUGCGAGAAGCCUAAAUUCUGGUAAGUGUGGAUAAAAAGAAAUCCUGAAAGGGGACAACAAUUUUAUUUUUAGAUCAAACUAAGCAAUUUAACCAUUUUGGGUAUCAUCAUAAAAAACUCAACAUUUUGAAUGAAAUUUUCUGGGAUUUUCUUGUUUCGAUUCUUUAAUCUUGGGUUGUUAAUGUAUUGCUAAUAUCAUUUUAAAUUGAUUCAUAAUUCAAUGGGGUUUUCAUUACAUGGCUCGUACAUUGCACGGUUGGCAACUAGUAAUUUUCUAAAAAGUAAGAUGAAACGACAAAAAAAAAAAAAGAGGUAAAAUAUGGAAAGUGCUCUGAAACCACUAUUAGGCCUCUGGAUGUUGUCUGAUAUGGCCAUGGCAGCCCUAGAUAUUUCAAUUUUGGGAACAUGUAUAUAGUCAUGAUCAUUGGCCACAACAAAAAAAAAGAAAAAAAAAAAAAAGAAACCUUCUUUUGUAGCUAGCUUAAAAAAUGACAAUCCAAAUCGAGUAAGCAUGUAAAAAUGGCCAGCAAAUAUGUUUAUCUAAGACUACCAUUUGGCCGCACAAAUAAGAUGUUCAUCGUUCACCUCCAAUAUGGAAUCAAUAAUUAGUGUAGACAAGUUUUCGCCAUCUAGAUUAAUAAUGCCAGGCAUGAAAAUAAGUGUAAGUUGAGAUCUGUCACCAAGAAUCUGUUGGGAGUUCAUUUUUCGCAAGUGUCCAAAUGAGUCGAAAAAAAUCUGCAAGGGGAAGUUGGUUGGCAUGUUAGACCAGAUAGGAAAUUCUUUAGCUGAUUCCUCGUUCCUGAAGAUUGAAUGAAUUCUGAGAUAAUAAAUCAAUCAGAAGGUGAUUAUGUAGUAAAACACACAGAUUUCCAGAAGCAUAUGCUUCGUGAAAAGAGAGAAUAAGAAUUCAUUUCAGAUGGGACAUGAAACUCAAAACACAAAGGUGAUAAUGAAUUUCCAUAGAGGAAUGGCUACAUUGGACUUGGACGAUGCAUAACUUCUCAAAAAAUAAUAUUGGCCCCUCCUAAAUAUGCCAACGAUGAUGAAAUGAAAGAGUGAAUCAUGAAAAUGAGUUCAUAAGCUUUAAAAAAAUGGCCAGCAAAUUUUUAACUCAAAAAAUGGAUUAUGGUUCAUGUCGAAGAGCCCAUAAUGGAGUUGUAAGGAAAAACUUUAUUUUCGUCAAAGAAAGAAAAGAAAAAAAGAAAAGGGAGAAAGAGAAUAAGACAGAACCUUGUACUUUAGAUCAUUUGCUGUUAAAAAAGUCUGAAUUCUCAAUGAUUAACGAUCACACACUAACUCAUUUAACCUCUUGUAUGACUUGGUUGGGUUCUAGAACAAAAAUAGAAUUGGUAUAGGUGUUGUCACAGAGGAAAACUAAAUCAUGUGAAAACUUUCUCUAUUUUUUUCAUAUUUUUUUAAAAAAAAUAGUUUUCAAAAACCUCAUAGCUAUUGCCCUGCUAUUGAAAUAGGAAGGAAAUAUGGGGCAUCAAGAAUAGACGAUAAAUGCAAUAGAAUGUUAGCUAAAGUCUAUUAAAUGUGAAGUUUUAAUUUCUUUAAUUUAAUUAGAACAAAAAAUUCAUUUAACUUGAAGAAAAAAAAUUAUUAGACAGCUUGUGAAAUUUACAAAUGGUGCUGAUACCAAAUUUUUUUUUUUUUAAAUUGUAUAUAUUUGAUUUAAUUGAUAAGUGGGAUUGUAGGAAGCAAAUUCUUAGCGGAUCGAUUAUGAGAGAUGAUGGAUGUGGGUAGAAUGAAAUGAAUGAUCAACAGUUUUUGUGCCGAAGGGGCGACGUGCGUGCUGAAUUCUAAUUCUACAUCUAAUUUACACUUUAGGAACAAAAGGAAAAAAAAAAAAGAGUAAGGAAACAGAUUCAUUAUUUUAUUCCUACAAACCAAUGAAUUUGUUUUUUUUUUUAUCCCCUACAAACCAUUGAAAAGCAAAGGAAAGUCUUGGUCUUAUAGGAGUUCUUACAAAUGGUAUUAAAUAAGUUCUUAGUUUUUAUUUUGCUUUGGACUUGAUAUUUUUUUUUUUAUCAAUUUGUAUGAUAGUUGAAUUUUCGUUUCCAUUAGCAUCAAUUAUCUUCUUUUUUUGUUAUAUUUUUACCUGAAUUUUAAUAAAAUAUUAAAUAUGUAAUUAAUCGAUAUGUUAAUCUACCAUCAAAAGAAAGAUGGAAAGACGCAAAAUGUAGAAUUAAUAACCAAAAUUCAGAUAAAAUGUACAUAAAUAAAAAUCAAUCAAAUGAGAAGGAGAAACCAUUUUGGAGAUCUGGCUAGGGCGAGAUUGAUCGAAGUCGGUCUUAUCAGCCAUGGACGUUGAUGAAGAAGACUUAAAAGAAAAGGGAGAAAAUUAUUUGCGGCCGAAGAAACCCUUUUUUGUUGCUGCAAAAAAUUCAUCAUUUGAUCAUUAAAAAAUUCAUAAUUUGAUUCAUAAAGCAAGAAAUGUCCCUUAACAUGAAAAUGGCUAAACUUAUCUGUACAGUAACAAGUACUAUCCUCCUCAAUAAUCACGAUUACCAAUGGUUCUUUUUCCUCAGUAAUAUUCUUUUUUUUCUUCUGAGAUAUUAUUGAUAUACGGAAAUAGUAUAGAAGAAGUUGCAGCAACUAUUAAUUUAGGGUACCAUACUCAUGAUCUUAAUUCACUUACGUCUUCACACAUCAUCUAAUGAUUCAGAACUCUUGAAAUCAUUUGAAAGUUGAUAACUCUUAUUUUAUAUCUAACGAUGAAUUUAAUCUUAUCAACACAGUAUUCAAAAGGGAUUGUAGAACUUCCCAUUCCUUAAUUUAUUUUGGAUUAAAUGUUUAGAUUCUCAGAAUUGAGUGCCGAAGAUUAUAGUUUCGAACAAAUGUGAUUCUCUAUUCUGAUAUGAUAAACCAAAUGAAUACGAUUGAUCAACAAGAAAAGCCAAAUAAAUAAGUAAUUCAAGAAGGACCAGGUUGAACGCACGUGCUUUGUACGUGAGUGCUGAGUGAGUUAAUUUAGAAGGAAAAGGAAAAAUAUGCUCCUCAUGCUUGACAGCGUCUGGAUUUCACGGCUAUGUCCCAAAUAAUUAUCAUAGUCAUCCAAGUAAUUUCCUUUUUUUUUUUUUUUGAUAAAACAGAAGUCAAUAUGAUAAUAUUAUCAUAGUCGUCCAAGUAAUUUUCUUGAUCAAUAGAAUUGGCUGGAGUGAAUUUAAUUUCAGAUGAAUUGAUUUGCAGAGAAGAAGCAGUGACUAAAAUUGAGAAGGGAAGAUACUUGAACAACAAAAUAAGAAACCUUUCUCUUAGAAAAGAAAAUUCUCUUUUUAUCAAAAAAAAAAAAGAAGAAGCCUUUCUCUCUCUCACUCUGUUAUCUUGAAAAUUCUCUUUAAAACUCUGUUUUUGAGUGUUAUCUUGGUUUUAUCCCGAUUAGUUUGUGCUUCAAAUUCUCUAUCCCGAAAUUACCUUCUGUCUUGUCUGUCUCGUAUUUAUAUAGCUGCCGUGUGUAUUAAUACAUUGAGAACUCAAGCAAACUCAAGCAAAUCUUUGAAUUUUUGAACUAUAUUUGAAUUGUGUAAACCGAAUUGAAUUUUUGUAUAUGACAAAAGGUAAUUUUGGAAUAGUGGAUUUGAAGUAAUUAAUUUUAUCCGUUUAAGUGUUUACCACUUCUCCAUCUUCCCUCCCCCCAAAAUUAAUGAAUAGAUUUGAGCAUGCAAUGGAUUCUGAAUAGGUUUAAAUAGACAACUCAAUUAGACUUAUUUAAUUAGUGGGUACUGGAUUGACUUGCGUUACCCAUUUAUAUCGAUUUAAAAUUUCACAUUUAAACUCAAACUUUUUUUUUUGUAUGUUGAUAGGUGUCGAGCCUAUAUAAUAACAAAUUCCUACUCACGAAAAAUAUUAAUUUUGUGUAUAGUGAUAAGCAGGGUCGAAUCUACAGGGACUAGAAAAAUUCGUUUCUUCUAGAGUACAGAAUAAGGGGGAUUUUUAUAAAAAAAUGAGAAUAAUUAAAUAACUUAAAUUAAAAAAAGCCUAACUGAUAAUUUAUUAAAAUUGAAACAAUAAUAAAUAAAUUCUAGCCAAGAAAUAACUUCGGAGAUGGUUCACUUAAUUGAUUAUUGAUGCAAUAAUAAUUUCAUUUAUUCACUGAGAAAUAAGUUGUAACUAUCAAACAAGCGAUGAUAAUCAACCUCUCCUUACUGUAUUGAUGGUUAAGGUACGGCCGUUAAUCACUGCCCUAAUCAAGAAAUAACUUUAGGUAUGAUUUUAUAGUUUAAUUUUCCAAUUGCCAUAAGAAUUAGAGAAGUUUUGUUUUAAUCAAAAUAACACAUUACGAGAGUUAUUUUAAAUUAGCUUAUAUGUCCCCUUGACACAAAUCCAAUCAUGUCAGUUACGGAUUUAAUUGCGGAUUUAAUUGCUCUAAUUGGUUAUUAAACAAUUACGGAUUUAAUUGCUCUAAUUGGUUUUAAGUUAUUAGAUUAAUUCAAAUAUCGAGUCCUAGAUAUUCAAAUAAUGUAAUAACCAUAAGAAAUUAAAUCACGAAGCAUAUGAAUACCAGUAAAUUAAAAAUAAAUAUAAUUAAUUAGAUCUCACAAUUUUAGUUGAACCAAAUCCUCCGUUGUUCGUUGACUAGAAUGAAGAGUUUAAUUCAUCUCAAUUGAAGAAAUUGCACGCAAAAUAGUAGAAGUAAUUGCCACGGCCAUUUUUCAAUUGUUAGAUGGAGUGCCAAGAGGAAAAGAAAAAGAAACGUUGUUUUUGUUUCUUGUCGAAAAGAAAAAAGUCCAGAAUGAUGUUCCUAUUCCACUCGGAAAGAAAAGAUAGACCACACUUGUUUCUUUCUUCGUUUCUUACUUUUACUAAAACUCCUCUUUCCAAACAAAAUCCAAAUCCUAAUAAGCCAACAACUUUUUUUUUUUUUCAAAAAGUUCUAAAAGAUAACUUAGACUAGUAUACUAACAAAAGUAGAAGAGUAUCCAUUCCUUGAAGAGUCCGACUCUUGCAACUUCAAUUUGAAAGCCAAAUUCCGAACUUUUCAGAUGUGCAGGGUUAGAUUUUGAUGUGCCCAUGCUGAACAGCACUGAAGCGCAGUGAAAAAUCAUAUCUUUAAUUCCUUUUUACUCCGAAUCCCUACAGCCAACACCAAUUACUAAAUAUGAGUAGAAUCUAUCAAUUAACGCAAUAUUUGGUACAAUUCAAGGGCAAAGAAUCAUAAAUUUAAUAACAAAAAUGCAACCUAUCAUAUGUGCUAGGUGGAUAAAUUUGAAUUUCUUAUCAAUCUAGUAGCAAUAAAAUAUGGGUAUUUCUUAUCAAAAAAAUUUGGGAAAAAAAGCCAAAAAAAUAAGUAAAAUUUUAAGCGGGUCAUUAUUGGAUAUACCUAUACCCAUACCCAUUUAAGAUUACACCCAUUUAUGAUCCACUCAUUUUUACCUAUUUAUUUACGGGUAUAAAUGAAUUAACAUAUUACCCAAUCAUAACCUACUUGAAUCCAUACCAAUCACCAAUUUUGACACAUCUAAUAUUACUUUUAAUUCAAAAGUUAUUGGGUUAGUUUACACCAAUCACCCCAGGGCUUUUAUAUGUUUUUCAUACUUUUCUAUUAUGAAAGGUAUGUGUUUAGAUAACUGGUUCAUAAAUUUUUUUUUUCUCAAAGUUUAUCUGUAUCCCGUGCAAGGUGUGUAAAAUAACGUAAUUGUAUCAACAUCAGCAAGAUGAUGCCUUAUAUAUAUAGCAUGACGUGCUGCAAAACAGUGGUAGGAGUUGCAGGGUCGGAUGGGCUACAUCCACAACACCCACAGCACCCAAGGGAGAAGAUUUAAUAGUCGGAAUGCACGCCCUUCUAUAAAACAAGUAGUCUCUUAUCGCAGGAAAGUUUCCUAGUAGAAUAGACAACGAGAUGAAGAAUUACUGGAACAACCACUAGAAAAUUCAGAGAUGGACCAAACCUUCCCAGACAAAUUAAUACCGUCUGAAUCCAUGAUUAUUGAACACCAAAAGCAACAAGUUAAGGUAUAAUUUGAAAGGACAACCAUGAAAUAGAGGAUCCUUAUCUCUCAAAAAGUUUUUAAAAAAGGUACGUAGUUAUAUGCUUGUGGGAACCAGAGAAGGUUCUUGAUGCCAUUGUUAAUGCUAAGUGAAAAAGAAUCCAUUUUUAUCAGAUAUUUGUUUGCGGGAAAAGAAGGAAUCUUUGGUCUUUUUGAACCAUACUUGUUAGUACUUCUUUUUACCCUGCCUUGAAAGGUUAGUUUAUCUUCUUUGCUCAUACUGCACUCAUCUGCAAAGAAGUUUUCAAGAAAGUUUCUCUGAGUCCAACCCAUUCUUGCUAAUUGGAAAUGACAAAUCUUGUAGAUUCUCCUUAAUUGAUUAAAAUUAAUUCCAUAGCAUUCUUUUUUUUUUUUUUACUAUGAAAAUUAAAAUAUUUUCAUAGCAAGGAAAACAAGAAUUCCAUAGCAUUCUUGAGUCCUGCUUCUCUUUCUCUUAGACACUGAAAAUUUAAAAUAUUUUCAUGGCGAGGAAAACAAGCAAGCAUGGGCACUAAACAAACACUUGAAUCAAAAAAAAAGAAGAAAGCAAGAAGUAAUUUCGAGUAAAGAGGCAGACGUGCGAAGUGCGUACUUACCUCAUUAUAUCUUUGUAGGGAAAGACCUUAUUUUUGUUGUAAACUAGUAUCAUUAAUUUACCUUCUUCAAUACAUUGUAAGUGCUAAUCAAGCAAUGAAUGCAGUUAUUGGAAGUCAAGUAUGUAGUCACAAUAUAUUUCUCCUCUUUUUUCUUUCUUUUUUGUGUUCGUCUAUUACUUCUUCUUCUUUUAUAAAUGGACUCUUCGCUCCUGCUCUACUGUAUCAUCUCACGCUCUCAAUCUUGAUCUUCACCGUCCGUUAGCUCGUACUUGCAAUGGUAUUUCUCUUUUCUAUUUUUGCUGAUUUUCAAAUGAUGUAAAUUUCCCUAUUUUUAGUCAUACCUAUUCCUACAUGUUUGUCAUUAUUGUUGUUCUAAUCUACUGGUUUCUAAGCCUUUCGAUUUGGACUUUUGUGAUUUUCUAUUGAGAUCUGCUCCUAAUUUGCUGCUGUGACCACUCUAUGUUAUUAGGAUUUUAUUCCAUAUCAUAUGCUGAUAUUAAAAUUAUUUUCCAAAAUCUGUACAUAUCAAUGGAAGAUAGAAGCAUCAAUUUCGUCUGCUUUUGCAUUCACUUUUUUUUUUUUUUUUUUUUUUUUUCAAUGUCAAAAUCUUUGAGCGAUGGAGCAAUGUAGUCAUAGCGUUAUGGAUUUUUUUUAAAAGAAAAAGAAAAAUGAUUUUGUUUGGAUUUCUUAAUCAAAUGGUACAGCGUCAAUUGAUCCUGUACAUAUUACGAAAGAAUUUGUAUUCAUGAUUCCUAUCUUUAUCUUUGUCCAGGAUAUGUACUCAAUGCAACAUAAAUUUGCUACGGUUUGAUGUCAAAUGCUGGUCUCAUCCCUUCUAUAUUCAUCCCAACAUAUUUAAUUACUUCGUUCAAAUAUUCGUAAAAGUUCUCUAAAACACAAAGGAUAAAGUAAAGAAACAAUUCCUAGAAUAUAAGAAUAAAGAAACAGGAUAACAAUAGAAAUGAAAAAAAAAAUUAGUGGAAUGGUAUGUAAAUUAAUUCCUAUUUUUCUUUUGCUAAUUGAUCAGAAUACUUCACGACAAUGAAUACUAACAAGGACGUGCGAAGUGCGUAUGUGCCUUUCUGUUUGUAACCAGGACACUCUUCUUAUUUGUUACAAACUCUCAUCAAAAUUUUCUUCUUCACUAUAUUAAUUGUAAAUGCUAAUCUGGCCAGUGAAUGUAAUUCUUGGUUUUUAACUGCAUAAUCACAAUAUAUUUCUCUUGAAUACUCAAUGCAACAUAAUUUUGUUGCGAUUAAAUCUUGAUAUAUAUAUAUAUAUAUAUAUAUAUAUAUAUAUCAAAUGUUGGUCACAUCCCAUACAAAUCAGCCCAACAUGUUCAAUUAGAUUGUUAAUUAGUGUUAAGGUUAUGAUCUUAACUGCGAAGUAAAUGUUAAAUUCCGAGUAACUGAGAUUAAUGUCAUCUUAUGCAGGUUGUGUAUGAGAAUGGCUGUUUUGAUGAAAUUAAAGGAAAUGGCUCAAUCAAGUUUCCAAGUCCACCUCAGUUGUCCCUUGCUUUGAGCUUAAUUAGCCUUCUUAGCCACAGGAAAACAAAAACAAAAAUACAAAUAAAUAAAAUAAAAUAAGAUAUAUGAGAACCAUCCUAUUGCCUACAUGUCAAAAUUUCGAUGAUUCAUGAUUUCUUGCCUAGUGUUAUCCCACAAGUAGUUUUUUUUUUUUUUAAUUUGGAGGAGAAUUUGUUGCCAGAUUAUAACCGUAGUAAAAAAAAAAUCUAUUUCUUUUUUGAUGAAGAAAACAUUGAUCAAGAAUGAAUUUUUUUUAAAAAGAAAAGAUAAAUGGCACGUGGAAUGCACGUGGCAGGUACCUAAAUGUUGGCCUUCAUGCAUUAGAGAUUUGCCUGAUUUUGGAGUGUUAUUUUGUGAUUUUCCGAAGAACUGUUUUGUAAUGUAAAUUAAGUUGGGGGAAAAAAUUUAAUAAUUUUUUAGGAUUGCAAAAUUCCGUACUUAGAAGGCUUCAUUUUUAUUUCUUCAUCUUAUUCAUAAAGCAGAAACUUAUAUUUUGUGAAGUUGUAGAUGGGUAUUGGACAUGGCGCGUGUCUGUGGUGUCUAUGUAGAAAUGCGUAGUUGCUUGUUUGUUGAUUUUUCACUCAAGAUUAUAUCACAAAAUUACAAAUUACCAUGCAAGGGCUUCAACUUUAGUUUCCUUCUUUUUUCUUGUGAAAAGAAAAAUAAUUUUUUGUUUCGACUAUUAGAUGGUAACAACACUAUUGCAUAUCAGGUUUCAAAACUUGAUGGUGUGCCAAAACAAAAAAAAAAAGAUAAAUUAGAACUUGACAAAUUUUGGUGAAGUGCUAAUGUGACUAUUUGCAGAGUAUUUAGAAGAUGUAGCACAGAGAGUCAGAUACACAACACUUAAGAAUCAAUGUCAACCUUCUCAUUUCCUACCAAAAAGAAAAAAGAGAAAAACUCUAACCUUUUUAACAUUCAAAAUAACUCUUAAUUUUUUCUCAUAUCAAAAUGAAACUGUAAGAUCAGUCUUUUUUUUAUUUCAAAACAAAAAUGUAAGACCACUCUUAAUUUUUUCUCUUUUUUUAAUAGCGAAACAAAAUUUUAUGAUCACUGUUAAUUUUUCCCUUUUCAUCUCGAAACAAAACUUUGGGUAAGUCUUCAAUUAACUUUCCCUCUUAAUUUGAGUGGUGUGAUUUUGGUCAUGAUUGGUGUUUCAUGUCAUAAAUUAUAAUUCAACAAUUUCUUGCAAUUAGCGUUUAAACUAGUUAUUUAUACCACAAAACGCUUUAAUCCACAAUGUUAUUGAAAGAUUUUCAACAUACUACGUACAAAUCUGUUCAAAAAGCAGGUGAAGAACUAGUUGCUAAAUAUUAUCAUAGCCUUUCCAUGUUGACCUAUGACCAGCUCUUUGGUUUUUUUUUUUUUUUUUAAUUAGUUCCAAAAGGAAUCUGAUGGCAGGAUGGCUUCCUAGUAGAACAGACAAUGAGAUAAUCAGAACACCCAUCUUAGUAGUAAACUCAAAAGCUGGACCAAACCACCAGCAAGAAAUUAUUUUACUAUCUUAAUCCCUGAUUAAUUAACAGCAAAAUUAAAAGCAGCAAGGUUCUUUUAAAUAGGAUCAAGCUGGAAGAUGCCUGGAAAGGCUCAAGUACAAUUGAAAAGAUAACCAAAUUAGGGAUCCUAAUCUCUUGAAAUUGUAAAUUGGCUCAAAAAAUGAUUGUUGUUGAAUUUGGCUAAAAAAUGAUGCUCUUGUUGUCCCAUCUGGUUUCAGAAGAUAAGUACGGACGUGUACAAGCUAAACAUUCAAUGAAUGGAAUUGAAGCAAAGGACAAAAGUUCAGAAUAACAAAUUGAGUGAUUCCCUAUCCUAAUAGUUAACAUAGGAGAUUGAAUUAUUUAUUUCUUUGUUUUUUUAAUCGUAAGAACCCGAAUUGUGCACGUAACUGUAAAAAUUAUAUGACAUUUUACAAUUUGAUAAUCACAGGAUAUGUCCUUUUGAAUGUUGAUUGGCUCUGGCAUGGAUGAAGAUCUAGAAGUACUUGUACGAUUGAUGCACGAGGGCAAGCGUGUUUGUUGGGAUUGAUUCGAAAUGCUUAGUAGAUUCCAAUCAAGCAGCUAUGCAAUUUAUUUUAUUAUUUAUUUAUAUAUUUUAUAAGUAUGUAGCUAGGCAAUGUAUCUAUCAAGAUUUUAUUGUUCAUGUAGCAAAGGUUAAUUUGGUCUAGGAUUCUGAGACAGUAUUGGAUUUGUAUGAAUCUAGUUGGGACUGUUGCUAGUGUUUUUCCUAGGUUUGAUAUUGUAAACGAAAAACCAAAAUAGACUGUUUUCUACCGUUUUUCCUAGUUAUGAUGGAAAUUAGCAUAUGUCAGGACGACAGUUACUAUGGCUAACAUGCACCUAGAGCAAAUCCCAUUGGUAACAUGUCUAGUGGCCAUUUUUCUGCAAAUGUGAGCUCCAUUUUCUUCAUUUUUCGCUGAUUUUCUCUAUGCAAUUCGUCAUUGAUCAAGAUUUUGCUGGUCUGUGGUCUACGACUCUAAGACAGUAUUAGCUAGAUAUGUAUGGAUCUAGUUAUUGGGACUGUUUCUAGUGUUUUUCCUAGGCUUGAUAUUGUAGACUUUUUCUUUUACCAACUACGAUAGAAAUUGGCAUUAAAAUUGCAAGGAGAGCAGUUACUAUGGCUAACAUGCUCCUAGGCUUGAUAUGUUUUUUUUUUUUAGUAUUUUGAAACAUUAAAAAAACACGAAUUAUGCACGCAAUUCUGAAAAAUUAUAUGGGCAUUUUACCAUUCAAAUAUAUUCACAGACUUAAUCCUUUUGAGUAAUCCUUGGACCUCAUUUGCUACCAUUUGUAUUUAGUUCUAAAGUUAGGAAGAUGAGUUUUUAUGGUGGGGUCUGGAUCAAACUACACGCAACAGGUUCACCACAGAAGACCAAUCAAUUGUGUCGCUUGAGAAGAACAGAACAAGAAUGUUUGAUUAUAGAGUGAGGUGCCUAAUGCAUAUAGAAUAAUCUCCCUAAUGAAGUAAAUUAUACAGAGUAGGGUGUCUGAUUCGACUUUUAAACUCUCUCAUUUUCUUGUUUUUCUCGUAAAUCUUGGAGUUUUCCUUGAAUUCAAAAAAAAAAAAAAAAAAGUUACUGUGCUUUAUAGAGUAAAAAUGGCUAAUAAAGAUGAUGAUAAUAUGUCUCUGAAUUUCCGGUUUCAUAAUCUCAAUUUAACAAUAUACUUUAGCGAAAAAAAAAAUCAGAACAACUAAAGAGGAAGCCAACUUUAUGACAGCAAGAAACUUUUGGAUCACUCGUACAUUUGUUAUUUGGAUGACACAAGUGUUAUUCCCCUCGGUUUAAGUAAAAGCUAACAAACCUUUAGAAUUUUUGAUUUAUACGGAGAAGGUUUAUUAGGCAUUUGUACACAAUGCCUUUAGACUUUUUUGAUUUAUUAUACACUUUACACGGAAGUGUAAGUAGUCAAAGAAUGGUAACAAAAUUCCCACUCACAUGCCUUAGCUUCUCUUUGUUAGUUUCUUUUUGCCUUUUCUCCUUUUUCAGCCUUCAUUUCUCUGAGUACCAAUGCCAAUUUCCCAACUCAUAACUUGUUAAACAUUUUCUUCAAAAUAGGUGGAUAUAUUUACAGGUGUGAUGUCCCUAAUUUCGAUUGUGACGCGCAAAGUCUACCUCAAAAGAAUUCAAUUAGCAAAGUAGUUGGAACUUGGAAGGCUUCUAAUGGAGUUGCCCAAGAAAUAAUUCAUUGGAAGAAAUAUUUCUCUUUUUCUUCUUGGAAAAAAAUAUAUUUAUAGAUUAUUUCUUUCUUUCUCCAUCCACUGUUGACACAUUGGGAAAACGGAUUCUGCACGCAUUUGAAUUUCAGGAAAGGUGAUUCGCACAAAUACACACUGAUCCACAUGCAUACAUAUACUUUAUGCACAACUUCUACUUGAAUCUAGUGAAAGAUAAGUUUGAGGGGAAAGAAAGAAAUGUGAACUAAUUUGUUCUCAGAGAAGGAAAGAUUAUUCGUUUUUGGUUUAAAAUGAAACAAGGGAAAAAAAAAAACAAGAAAAACACCUUAGUUGUAUUUCAUUACUGAACUGAAACUUCAUUGAUUAUGGGUUGGGGUCUUGAAGAACUUGAUACUUGGAAAGGGAGCUAAUUUGACUAUUUGAAUAUCAUGGAGAGGGUUUUAGCAUGCAAUUAGUUCCAUAUGUAAUAUAUUUUCAUUUGCUUUUAUGUCUUGCGAAUUGUUGGCUAUUUCUUUUUUUCUUCUGAGAUAUUAUUGAUAUACGGAAACAGUAUAGAAGAUCAUUCUUAAUUCAGUUACGUCUUCACACAUCAUCUAAUGAUUUAGAACUCUUGAAAUCAUUCAAAAGUUGAUAAUUCUUAUUCUAUAUCUACAUAGUAUUGGUGAAUUUAAUCUUAUCGAAAUAGUAUUCAAAAGGGAUUGUAGAACUUCCCUUUCCCGAGUUUAAUUUGGAUUAAAUGUUUAGAUUCUCAGAAUUGGGUGCCGAAGAUUAUAAUUUUGAACAAAUCUGAUUCGCUAUUCUGAUAUGAUAAACCAAAUAAAUACGAUUGAUCAACCAGAAAAACUAAAUAGAUAAGUAAUUAAGAAAGGGCCAGGUUGAACGCACGCACCUUGUACGUGAGUGCUGAGUGAGUUAAUUUAGAAGGAAAAGGAAAAUUAUGCUCCUCAUGCUUGAUAGUGUCUGGAUUUCACUGAUAUGUCCCAAAUAAUUAUCAUAGUCGUCCAAGUAAUUUCCCUUUUUUUUUUUUUUUUUGAUAAAACAGAAGUCAAUAUGAUAAUAUUAUCAUAGUCGUCCAAGUAAUUUUCUUGAUCAAUAGAAUUGGCUGGAGUGAAUUUAAUUUCAGAUGAAUUGAUUUUGCAGAGAAGAAGCAGUGAUUAAAAUUGAGAAGGGAAGAUACUUGAACAACAAAAAUAAGAAACCUUUCUCUUGGUAAUGAAAAUUCUCUUUUGAUCAAAAAAAAGGGAAGCUUUUCUCUGUCUCACUCUUUAAAACUCUGUUUUUGAGUGUUAUCUUGAAUUAUCCCAAGAACCGUUUUGUAAUGUAAAUUGGGCUAGAAAAAUAAGGGAUUUUGGGGCUUUUAGUUUUGGUUUACCAUUGUCUUUAUUUAUUUAUUUAUUGUCUUUGUUAGUUCUUACCGCACUAUUUUUUUAAUGUGGGUAUCUGUAUGGCACUUGAUAUGGGUAUCUGUCAUUCAUUCAAACUCGUUAAUGUAAAAAAAUUUGUCAGUAUGUGUGUGUGUCUCUCUAUAUAUAUAUAAUAUGUGUGUCUAUAUAUAUAUACACCAAAUAUGUGUGUGUCUAUAUAUAUAUAUAAUAUUGAAAGAAGUGUUGGAAAGGCUAUACAUGCAUAUGGGUGUGGUAUGGACGUUAUGCGGUGUCUAUAAUAGGUUAUUAUAUUUCCCCUCCGGCCCUCCACACCCGAAACAGAAGAGGAGACGAACUCGAGUUGGAAGUCAGAGGAAGAAAAUGCGUACUUAUUUGUUCGUUGAUUUAUUACAAAAGAUCAAAUCACUAAACCAUGACUGAAAAUGUUGGGAGUUUCUCCUUUAAUUAGUUGCUACUGCUUUUAUCGGAAAAGUAAAUGUUCAUUAUUGUUUUCACUGUAUUAUACUAAAACAUUAUUACAUGCCAAGAAUAUUCACUUUUCAAGAGUGAAUAUAUCUAAAAUUUAUGAAUAACAUUGGAAUUAGAUCGAGAGAUUGAUUUAAACUAUUUGUAAUUGUUAUAUAUAUUUUCUUUUUUUGUAGUUGAUAGGCUCAUCCGUAACUCUCAAAGUUACAGUACUUGUAAUCUUGAUAUUUUCUUUUUUCGCAAUUAAUUAGUAGGCUACAACCGAGAAAUAAGGAUCAAUAUCACCAGAUUGUCAUUGCUAAAUAUUACCAUAGCCUUUUCUAAUGAAGUUAAUUAGUUCCGAAAGGAAUCCAUACCUCAAGCAGUAUUCACGUUUAAUAACUUUAGGUAAAACAGGCUGAAAUACAUCUAAUUAAAGAUCAAAACUGCUUUAUUCUCUAAUCAAAUUCGUAAUCAUAAGCAUCCACCGCCUAUGGAUUCUAAGCUUAUAAAAUUUGCAAAAAUCAAGCUGCCGUAAUGAAAAAGCAAAAGGUUAUAGCAAAUCGGAAUAAUUACUGUAAUUGAUCUUUGUGGUGUUAAGUACAAUUAUACUAGCACUUGUUGGUGGAUUCUGAUUUGCGUUGAUGAUGGCUAUGUAUGCCUACCCAAGGAAUUUGGACAUUAAAGAAAGAAUAACGUGCUUUUCUCUCGAGGCAGAAAAUACAUUUGAUUUGCUUUUAUCGUUUAAAUCAUAAUGACCUUGCUCUAAUCACCAGGAAUUUGAAAGAUAAAAGAUAUUCUCGAGGGCAAAGAAUUGGGUAGACAUGGUCUAUGACUAUAACCGUAAAUUGAGUGGCUCAAAAUUUAUCACAUCACUUUACCAAUUCAAGUAUUAAAUGCACAAUAAAAGUGUACUAGAUUUAGUAGACUAGGUGUAUCCAAGUUUUUGCCAUUCAAAAUAUCCUUAGACCUCUCUAGCUAGUCUCCACUAUCACUACUUAUUCUUGAUUCAAAAUCUUAUAGGGCAAUAGUAAUGAAGCCUAACCUUCUUUUUCUAAUACUAAUGAAGCCUAAUCUUACAAAUUUUUUCUAAUACUAAUGAAGCCUAACCUUCUUUUUCAUUUUUCCUAGGGACCAUUUUCUUUUCUUUUUUUGUCUGUAAUAAUUCUUGGAUAACAAUUUAUGUAUUUGUUGUAUUAUAAAACUACAUUCCAAAGGAGAAAAUGGAGAGGGGAAGGGAGGACGUUGAGGAAGUUGACCACGUUGACUUAGUCAACUCUUGUGGUGAGCAAACUAGAGGGCCUAGAAGCUAGAAGGGGUCAAAGUAAAAGAUCGCUGCACUUAGCUUUAAUCCUAAACACAAUUAAAAUCUCACACGAACUGCAAAUUAAUAAGAAAAAAAAGAAAGGAAUGAUUAAUUAAUCAAUAAUCAUGUACCUAAUUAGGAGGUGCAUUGCUGCAGGACUUUUGUGCUGUUCUGCUACCAAAGGAUAUGGUCAAAGUACAGUUAAGACAUGAGCUAAGAUUUAGUAGUGCAAGGCAACCCGACCGGCCUGCUAAGUUCAUGACAAUAACAUCAUUAAAGUGCAUGCCAUAGAGGAUCACAUCUUCUAAUCUUCGACUUUAAUCGGAUUAAGACAGGAGUACGAGGAGGUUCUUCACUUAUAAGAUUGUGCUCUUGAUUUUCUUCUCAUAGAUUUAUUUUAGUGCACGAACUUUUUGUUAUUGUUCUUUACAGAACACCUUUAGGCCGUUUUUUUUUUUUUUUUUUUUGAAAAGAAGAGCAUGUAAAUGUAGUGUGUGUCUAUAUAUAUAUAUAUGUAUAUUUUAAGAGAGACUCUAAAUCUUAUAAGGAGCAUGGAAUAAACUAGAGUUUAAGAGUUGAAUCAUGGACUUUAACCUCGUCUAAACAAUAUUUUUGUCUUCCAAGAAAAUAUUUUUAGUGCAUUUCGUUGAAAAACUAGAGCCUUUUUGGUUUGUGAUAUUGUUUUAUGGCUCACAAGUAAUGUUGACAUAAUUAAACUAAAUUUUCUAGUAGUUAAUAUUUCUUAUUUCUAAUUUAAAACUAUUCAAGUAUAGUCAAAUUUUAGCAGUAGUUGACUCGUUUAAGAUAUAGAGUAAUUAUUUGGCAACUUUUUGUCUUAGUAAUUUCUUGAUUACCAAGUCAUGUUGACAAUAUAUAGGCUGUUUAAAUACUGCUUUCAAUUGAAAAGAGUGAGAGAAAAAAAUUAGAGAGAGUCGUAAUAGUUGUAAAGGUAAUUCUGCUUAGAGUUUAUGUCAAUCUCAAUAUAAGAUAUGUAAUUUAUAAAACUCUUCUUCUCUCACAUAAUUUUAUAUGUCAAAUAUCUUGUACUGCGUGUUUUUUGUGCCUACAAGUAACCCUAUCUUCAUUCAUCAAAUUAAAAUUGUUUCAAGAAUUCAAUGAGUGUAAGUUAACUCAGUGGGCUCUGAUUUCAGCAAUUACAACUUGAACUACAUAGUUCAAAUAUGUUGUGGUCAUUCCUAUUACGCCUUUAACUAAGAGUAAACGUUACCGUGAAGAAGGCCUUUGUUUGUCCAAAAAAAGAAAAAAAAUUGUGUCAAAGAACAUUCCAUCAUAACUUUCAAACAAUCAUUUCAACCUCAAACAACUGUCAAAUGGUUUAUCUCCAUUAAAAGAGUAGUGGUGAAAUCUUUUUGAAGACCUAAAACAUUUGACAUUUGACCUUUGAAGCUGUUGUUGACGAUAAAUCGUGUUGCAUGUUUAAUUUAUUUUUUUAAAUUGUAAAGCAAAUCACUUUAUCAAUAAUUCUCCACUUUCCACCAGGUACGGUUGGCCGUGUUUCCGUAGCCAUUCCACACACAAAUAUUGGAAGGUAAGGUCAAAGCAGGAAUAAAUUUACUUUGACUCGGUUCUUAAUUGGAUGACUCAAAAUGUUAAUCACGUUACCAGGGCAUAAUCUUGUGAGUUCUAGUCCUAGAUAUUAAUCGAAAUACCUAAUUAAUUUUACCUUUUAAUCAUCAUCAUUAUGUGCUAAACUUUUUACCUGCCUUGAUGGUUACAACCAAAAAGCUCAAGAAAAUGGAGUUUCAGUCAAUGGAACAAUUUCGGUCCAAAAUCAUCUGGGGUUUAAUUGUUAAGCACUGAAAAGAUUAACUCGUGAGACCAAUAGAGGGUUUGGUUCCAUUUUUUUUUACCUACCUAAAAAGCUAAAGUGUUUUGGAGACAAAUUUUCAAAAGAGUCAUCCAUUGGCAGCAGCAUGCUUAGCCACAAUUUGCAAGUCUAAUUUAUUGUUUCAUACUUGUAUUCAAUGCCACUCGUGAGGUCAAGAAAAACUAUCUAUUGCAGUAAUAGGACUCUAGGAGACAGGAUGGGGUUGAUUUUGAUUGUUUUGUUAACCUAAUCUCCACGUUGCUUUAAGAUGGGAUUCUGAUUACGUACACAAUCAAUUGUGGUGUCUUGUAUUAGAUUAUCCAAUGACGAUGCAAAAAUUGGUUUUGAUAUGGUGUGUUAUAACAGAUGCAACAAAAUAAGAGAACAAACAAGGACAUUAGAACAGUUUUAGGGGAAAUCAGAUUUUAUUAGGGUUCUAAUUAGAAUAGUUUAUAGACUAAAUAUAAGGUGUAUAUAUAUACAAUCAAACGGACUGGACCUAAAAAUAGGUCCAAAACCAAAACCCAAAAUAAAACAGAUACGGUAACUAAUAUAUACCGUAAGCAGCGAGACCCCGAACAGCUCAACGAAGGUCGAAGACCUGAUUCAAGGCAUCCCAACAUGGUGAGAUCAUAGUAGUAAUACUUGUGUACUUGGUUUUUAUGUGACCAUUUACUCCACUUUUACUCUUGCGUGCUCAUGAUUCAUACUCCAAAAAUUCCAAAAUUCCGAUUAGAAAAGUUUUUAUACCAUUGUACAAAUGUAAAAAGCAUGGGCUGUACAUAUAUCUAGAACUGAGGAUAAUUUUCUACUUCUAAAGAUUGAUUUAGCUCAAAUCCAAAAAAAAAAAAAAUCAUUUUUCUCAUUGUUUUAUGAUAUGGGUGUCUCUUUCUCUUCAUGAUCAAGAAAGCCAAGUGCCAGCAAUGGAAAUUCUUUUCCACGAUGUACUGUAUUUUUGGGAUGUUCUGUACCUAUUAGACAAUCUUGUUCUUCCCACGAAUUUUGUGUUUUUCUUUUCCUCUUUUUUCUGGGAUUUCAACAAUACAUAUGGCAAAACAAUAGAGUAUUUCAUCCGUCAAGUAGCCUUCUCAAUCCCUUUUUGCAAAUCUUAGACUAAUCUAAUUCCUGAAGCACAUGGAUUAUCAAGAAUACGGCUGAGGAGCAGUUGAAUCUAAAUUGUUCAAUUUAGCAGUUUUGUCUUACUAAUUAACUUCAUCCAAGGAAUGAUUUACGUCAUGAAAUAUGGUGAUUUCAUCCAUUCAAUAAGCUAGAUAUCUUUUCUUGCCUGGUUUUUCAAGACUAUGCUAAUGCAAUCUGGGAUUUUUUCCAUGCAUUUUCCCAGAAAACAACAAUUUCUAGUCACGAAAACAUCUCAGAAAAAUGUCUAUCAUUUCCACACCGGCCUAUGUUUUGUAGCAUCCUGGCAUUCGUGUAAUUGUUGAAUAUUUUCACCUAUGCUUUUUUAAUGCAUGAAAAGUGAAAGCCAAACCUACCUCUAGCAGACUCUCCCGGCCCCUUGCAGCUGGUGGACGGCAAUAUAAUAUUCUAUGCAUUUUUCCCUGUCCUCCUGUUUACCAUUUUCUUGGGGGUUCCAUUUAGGCUAUGGCCGUUUUGGAUAUGGUUUGCUGCACCAAAUCAAGGUGCAUAUUGGUUAACAAGUGGUGAGUAGUUCGGCUAUUUUAACACAAACAUGAAACUCAUUAUCAAGGGGAGACAAGCAUGAAAAAAGAUGAGAUCCUGCUGCAAUUAAAUAACUACUAAGAUAAUAUAGCAAAUCUAUAUCUUGUUCAGUGCUGGUCGUAAAGCGCUGUGGCUAUCUAUGACCAAGGGUCUUUUUUUUUUCUUGAGGGCAAACUUGAACUUUUAGAACAAGUCUUAUUCAGUUUGUUGGAUGUUUUUCAUCUCAAAUUAAUAACUGUUGCAUCCUACCAAUUCCGUCAAAUUUUGUCCAUAAUUACUUCCUCCAUUAAUUUAUGAACCACAUCUAAAAUAGUAUCUACCUCAGGGGUAUCUUUGUCAGAUUGAUCUGUCUAAAUAUCCACUUCUCAUUGAUAUGCUCCGUUUUUAGGGGGAAAAAAAAAUUUGGUAUUUGGUGAGGCAAAACAAUGACAGUGCCUCUGCAUAUAAUUAAAUCAAAAUAAGAAAAAGUCCAAAGUUAACGUUUGUAACAGAUGAAAUUCACAAAAUGGGGUAGAGAAUAAGGCACUUACAAAAGUUGGAUGACUAAUUUGAGACCAAAAGAAUUCAAUCACCAAAGUUAGAUGAUCAGUUUGACACUGAAAAAAAUUCAAUCCCCAAAACUGAACUUUUGCAAAAGUUUAGUGACUAUUGUGAAAGUUUCGAGUGGUAGCCAGAGUCACAAGUCACUUGUAUGAGUUAAUGUCCAAUGCAGUCCUUGUAUCAAUAACAGAAUUUGAACAUAUACGGUUUAUUGAGGGAGUGAUUUGCCCUAAUCAAUUGAGCCAACUGAAUGUAAUCCGAUUAUAGGAACAUGAUGCCUUUUUUUGUUUCUUGGGGGUAGGGGGGAGGGGUUCAAGCACACGAGCAUCAAAAACUUUAUGUCAUGCAAGUUAAUUACCCAUAAACAUUCUAAAAUCUACACCAUAAAUAAUAAGAAUGGAUCUGCAAAUCCAACGACCAAGGUGACAUAGAACAAGGAAAAUGAAAAGCUAAAAUGCUUCUAGAAGAAUGAUGGCAUGUCCCAACAUUCCCUUAAGCUUAAGAAAAACAAAAGUGAUUAUGCUCUACGUAGUUGUUUAAGAUAGCCCGUCUCUCUCCGCAAUCUCCAAGCUCUUAUCCAAAUCACCUCAGAAAUGACAGCCAGAGUGGAUUAAAAUAUAAAUUAUGCAAAAGAUCUGAGAAUAAAACCACUUAACAAAACGUAAAGUUCCUUCGGCUUUUAAUAGAACUUUCAACUUUUUAGACAAGAAGUGAAACCAUUAACUUAUUCUUCAACGCGCUUUGCUACUGAAAAGUAGUGUUUUUGCAUGUCAUCCUUUUCGAUCUUACCGUACAGCAGAGGAUUUGCUGUGAUGCCUUUAUUAAAAAUAUCAUUAAUUGGAUUCAAUUAUAUCUUGCGCCGAAUAAUGAACAUAAAAAGCUAAACACUCUGUACUUAAUUAUAGUUAAUUAAAAGGGUAGAGUGAAGAAAAAAUGAUCACUUUAUUGAAUAAUUUUUUGUUUAGCUUUAUUAAACAUACUUUUGUUAUUAAAAAGUUCAAGUCCGGUGGCAAUUUUAAGGACAGUGUUACUGUAUCGCCGUCUAAUAGUUCUAAUAUAAUUGUUAAAGAUGCAAAAUGUCAAUUACUAUAAAUUUGAAGGUGUAAAAUGUAAUUAGCAAAACUAUAACUAUAUGUUAGGAAUCCAAUGAUGAUAUUUUUGACCUAUGAAUGAGCAGUUCAGCGUGAAGAUCCAAUUGAUUUAUAAAACCAAAAAAAAAAAUGCAGUUCUAAUUGAUUUGUAGGGGCUAUAAUCAGCUGCUUUAGAUUUUGCAAUUAGGGCCUUUAUUAGCGUUGAGAAUUAGACAAAGCCAAUAGGAUUUUAUAAAAAAACUUCAUUGGAGAAUUUAUCAACUCAUGGUGUUAUACACACGGGAUUAAUCCAAACCAUUCCCUUCUAAAUUCACAAAUUUCAUGCAUUAAAAUAUUUACACCACGAAUUUUAAGAAUUAUACUUAUUGUGGUUCUAAAAUAGGGGGAUGUGAAUUUAAAAUGGAGGGUCAUUGAUUUAGACAUUCCCUCUUGCCAUUGAUCAUAACUAGUUUUUAUCAUCCUUUAUUUUUUUUUAAAGGAAGUUUUACACACUUCAUAAACUCCAUUGUUCGUCUAGGCUCUUCUCUUUAUUAUUUUUUUUUGAAAAAAAAAUGUUGUAGAGAUUUUUUGUGUGUGUAAUUUUCAUUACUCACCAAAGCACUUCCCCCAAAAUCAUCACACAAGCACCACCUGUUCCCUUUGUGACGUCCUAGGACAAUAGUUACUCGACUAUUUCAUGUGCUAAAAGCCUAAAAUGGCAUCCAACAAAGUUAAAAAAAUCGAGAUAUGAUGGUGAUUUUCAUGCAUCUAUCUCCUUAAGAAGUAAGCAAAUCGCACACUUGUUUCGCAUCCAUUGAGACUCCAGUAACUUUCAAGCUUAAAGAAUUAUCCACCCACGUAUAUUUUAAUUUUCUUAGGAUUAGAAACACAAUGCUUUGUGGCUUUCCUUGUGUCUAAAUCUAUAAGGCCUAGGCAACACGUGGCCAUUGAUUUUGCCAAUUUGAGUUCAUCCUUUAAGAAUAUUUAACAUCAACAAAUAUACUCCACUGAUUUUCUUGAAAUCCAAUCUUGUCACCAAAUAGAUUGGCAAGUUUUAGACCCCUUAACCACCCCUUGUCAAACAAAUUCCCAAUUAUCCUAAUCAAAUUUGAUCAACGAUUUAUAUUAAUCAGAGUGCUAUUGGCACUCGUUUUAUUUUUUUCCCUCUUUCUUUCACAAGAAAAUAAGGAAUAAGGGUGACAUCAGAGCGAAAAUAAAGACUUUACGGUCACCUGACUAAUCUUCUUGACCUAGGCUUUGGAACAGUGCUAUUGACACGUUACCAGAGCAUGUUUAAAGAUUAAACUUGGAAACAUCAUAAUGCUCAUCAAACAGGAGUGGAUGAGGGCAGUUUGGUAACUUUAGCGGAUAAAAUUGGCAUGACAGAGAUCAUCUUUGGCUUACUCACUCGAGGACGGAAGGAUAGUAGUGAUGAUUUGAAAAGGACAUGAUGACUGACUGAUGGGAUGAAUCAUAGUUCAAAGUGCAGAUAUAUAUAUAUAUAUAUAUGUAACGAACACUAGCACAUUGUGUCACAGAAUUUUGAGGACAAACUGAACACCUAAUACAGCUACUAAACAAGAGCCUUUUUAGCUUUUGCUUUUCAUGUCUUGGGAAGUGAUGGCAGCAGAACAAUUGGUUUGGGGUGUGAUGGAGGAAGGGUGGAGAAAGGGUCCUUGGACUGCUGAAGAAGACAGAUUACUCAUUGAAUAUGUCAAGUUGCAUGGUGAAGGCAGAUGGAACUCUGUCGCUAGACUUGCAGGUAACUAAUAUACUAAGCAACUUGCCUGCUUACUAAUUCUAUUAGUAUCGUGUACUACUACUUCACCGACUUUUCACCAACUAGAAUCUUGUAACCUGCUGUCUUUUUGGCAUUUUUAAUGCAUGUCAAAUCCCACUUGGGUAAAGCUAGAAUUCUUCAUUCUUGGCAUUUUAUUUUGCAUGCAUAUACAUGGGAGUGUUGCGAUUAGAAAGAGCACUGCUUAUGACCAGAUGAUGGUUGAUUUUGGUGUUCUGUUCAGGAUUGAAAAGAAAUGGGAAAAGCUGUAGAUUGAGGUGGGUGAAUUACUUGAGGCCAGAUCUCAAGAGGGGCCAAAUAACCCCUCAUGAAGAAAAAGUAAUUCUAGAGCUCCAUGCUAGGUGGGGAAACAGGUGAGGAUUUGGAUAUAACAAGCUUUUGAAAUGAAAUUUCAUAAGAAGAUUGUCUAGGAUAAGCAGCUGAUUUUGUGGGCUAUCCUUGACAAAUAUAGGUGGUCGACAAUUGCUAGAAGCCUGCCAGGAAGAACAGACAAUGAAAUCAAGAACUACUGGAGGACUCAUUUCAAGAAAAAGGCAAAAGUCUCGUCUGAUAACUCAGAAAAAUCAAAAGCACGCCUUCUGAGAAGGCAACAAUUUCAGCAGCAACAGCUGCUGCAGCAGCAACAGCAACAGCAACAGCAACAACAAACUCAAGUAUUUGACAUGAGGAGGCUUAUGUCGUUACUGGAUGAAAAUGAGAACAGAGUGCCAACUCUGCCUCAGAUGAAACAAGAUGCAUCAGCAGCAGCAACUACUAUCUUUCCCAAUACAAUUGAUGAUCAUCAUCAAGUCUUCCUCUACUCAGUGUUCAACAAUUCCGCAGCUCUGCCAGAAGCAACAAAUCAUGAUCAGGACAUUAACUGGGAUGGUUUAUGGAACAUGGAUGAAUUCAGUGGCAACAUAUAUUACUCGAAUUCGGCAAACAGAGCUACCCUGCGUACAUCUGCAGCCACCCCUUAUUACUGAUACACCCAGCCUUAAAAUUUUCCUGCCUUGUAUUUCCCAGUGCUUUGUUCCUAGUUUGUCAUUAUGAACCAAAGAAGGUUCUCAGGUAAGGAGAUCAUAAGAGUUUCUUGGUUUUAUGGAAACUUUUACGUUUUCAUUGAUGCAGUCUAGUAUGGCAUUUGGUGAUAUGUCCACGAGCUGGAACUUCGAGCUGCUCAAUCAGCUGUAUCUCAUGAGUCAUGACUGUAAAAUUAGUCUCGCUAUUGAAGAAAUUUUGCAUAAGUUUCAAUUAAGUGAUUGUCUAAGAGCCAAAGCUAAGACUGCAACCUAUGUAUGCAAUUGAAGUACAAUUGCUUCUUUUAACUCUUGUUUCUUUAAAAAUUGGCAAAAAAAAAAAAAAAAUCGAAACAGCCACUAAAUUAUUCAAAUCAAUAUAAUUUGAACCACCGAAUUAUUUUGUGUUCCAAAGCACUCGCAACUUUGAAAACUAAUACAUCAGUGGUAAUUCUGUCAAAAAAAUGAUGAGAUGAUGCUACCAUGACUUCAGAAUACACAGUACUGGGCACUCAAAAAUGGGCAUAAGAUAUGAGGAUUGAUCCACGUCGCAUGGCAAUGAUGUUACAAAAAUAUGGAUCCACAAAUUUGUUUGUACACGAAAAGUUAGAACACAAAUUUCCUUCCUGUUACUUGUUCUCUUCAUGAAAAAAAAAAUCUUGAUUUUGCACAGGCUACAUUCUUUUUUAGGAAAUUUUUGCACAACCUAUAAUCCUUAGAACAGCAGGUCAACAAACUUCUCAUAAGCGCCUUGGCAAGCAACAAAACACCAAUCAAACUUUCUUGGUUCUAUUUUUUCUUCAAGUCCAAGGCUGAAUAAGGUAAACAUCUGGAAGUCUCGUCCUUUUAAAUUAGUCAUGACGUCCACUCUGGUGCAAAUACUGGAGCAGUUAUCUCCCAACUAAUAUUUCAAUUCAAAGCAAAAGGAUAUUCGUUACUCCAACAAAUUAAUAGACUUAAUUAGGCUUGGCUUGUACUCCAGACUGUAGCAAUUGCUUUUCUACAACCAAAGGCAGGGAAGUACGAACAUUUACAAAUUAACUAGACUUUCGAAUCUGGUAGAAAAGGAGGAAGAGCAUGUACUUUAGCUAAUUAUCUGUUCGCAACGGAGCUUGUGUCUCAUUUCCUGUACCACUUUCUGUUCCACUUUUUAUAAUAUUGCUGUUUCUCCAUCAUAAACAUCAUAUUUUAGUUCUUUUUAAUUUUUUUAAAAUUCAAUAACUAUUAAUUGAGUUAGAAAUAAAUACAACAAUAUCAAAGAAGUAAUAUAUAAUAGAAAAUUAAAAAAUACGACAGAAAUUCAUAAAAAAAUAUUUUUUAUGCAUUUUGAUUUUUUGAGUUUGUUAAAUUUUGUGUAUUACUCAAUUAUUAGUUAUUGAAUCCUAAGUAAACAAAAAAAAACUAAAAUAUGAUGUUCAUGAACGAGAAAUAGUAAUAUAAUAAAAAAUAGAAUAGAAACUAGCAUAGAAAGUAGGACAGAAGAUCCGUUGUACUAUCUGUAUAACAUUGUUUGACUGUAGGCAACAAGCUACCUUGUGUAGCUUCAGGAGUACAGCAGGAGGACCUGAGUAUGCAAUAUCAAUCCGGUGUCACGUACUCCAAUACAAAGUUGGCGCCCCCUCACAAGGAUGAAGUUUCAACAUUGAUGGUUGCAAAGAAUUCUUACCCUGCAAUUCCUGAAGUCUGAUUGGAAGCUCUUUAAGGUUGUUACAUCCUUCGACCUGCAAGGUACAAAGAUUGGGCAUUGAUCCUUCUUCUUCAAUCAAGAACUCCAACUUUGGCAAAUUUGAGAGUGUAAGAUGUUUGAGUUGACCAAAUGCCCCUGAUGCAAAAGUCAACCGUUUUCCCAAAAAAGCUCCGUCUUCUAGAACAAGGUCCCAUAAAUUUGGAAACCUCCCCAGAGUUGCCAUAGGAUCAUUGACAAGUGCAGAGCGGCUUAGAACUAUGCGAGUGAGACUGUAACAAAUUAUAUGUGGUAGUAUGCUCAUGCAUCCCUUGAUCUGCAACGUAUGAAGGGAGGGACACUCAAGUAGUUGGCUCAUUGACAAAUUUCUCUCUUCUGCAGUAAAUGCGUCGAAACGUCUUACAUGAAUAGAGGUUUGGCAUAAGCAAUUCUGGUUCAUAUUUAUGCGUUUGAUGAUGCCCUGUAGGGACUUAGCAUUCCCUUUAACAGAUGCUGUUAGGUUCCGAAGACUCGUCAAGAAGAGAAGAUCGGUUGUACUGCAUGCACUGGUAUCAAAGUUUUCAAGCGUCUCCAAGUUCACCAAACUAUCCAAACGCAACUUAUCAUCCUCUCGAGCAUUAAAUUUCGAAGGCAAAUAAAGAUGCCGCAACCUUUUUAACUUCCAGAUGAUGUUUGGUAUGGUAACCAUCCGAUCUAUUACUACUCGCAAAUCAAGUGUUUGCAAGUUCAACAACUCACCAAGACUUAAUGGCAGGUUGUUUAGGCGACAGUCUCUGAAGCUUAGGUAUCGCAAAGAUGUCAAUUUCCCAACUUCUCCAACAAAUUUGCUCUCUCGUAGGUCAAAACCAUCAAAUCUUAAAACUCUAAGCAAGAGGAACAACUUCAAGUUUAUUGACUCCGAAAACUCUACAAACUCCAAACGUCGGGGUAAUUUUAAGAGAAGAAGAGACCUAAGAUAACCAAGAUGCAUGUAAGCAUUUUUCAGCAAGACGGCCAUUACAUCUUCACUCUGAUAACCCCCACCAACGUUCAUGGAAAGUCUACGUAUGUUGCCGAAUGGAGUGGGAGACUUGUUGAUUUCGUUUCUCUGACAUGAUCUUAUAACCUCAGAAAAUAUUUCUUGUUUGGCCUUGUGAAGACACAAGUCUAACAUCAUGCUAUGCAGACGACAAGAUUUGAACCGUCUGAUAUUCGGAACCUCAGCUUCAUUAACCUCAACAAAACCUCUGGUUGCUAAUUCAUCCAGAUACUGCUCCGCUGCAUCCAUCAUUGUUAUUGCAGAUUCUUCGUUGUUCGGUUGUACAAAGCCUUCAGCCAUCCACAGCUGGUAUAGUGUUUCCACCUCUAUGCUUGGUUGCUCAGAGAAGAGGCCCAAAUAAAGGAAACAAAGCUUUAAAUGGUGUGGCAUGUCAUCAUAACAUAAAGAUAAAAUUUUCAGUUUUAACAGUUGCAAACUAUCUUCUUGAUGGACGUUAGACAACUCCAUAGCGCGAAGAGCUGCCUUCCACUCACCUGAUGUCUGCUUUGUUGCCAACAAGCUUCCAAGCACAUUAAUGGCCAACGGUAUGCCUUUGCAUCUUUUCACAAUAAAUUCUAGCAUCCCGUGCAACUGCGGAUCUGUUAGCAAAGGGGGAGAAGUUAAUUCAAACAGACAUAAUCCUCCAAAUCAGACAACGAAAAAUUUAGCUAUUGCUGCAAAUAAAUAACACCAUGAAAGGAAAUACAAGAAAGAACAUGAGAAUAACUAAUAAAAAUUCAGAAGAAACAAAACAAUAUGCAUUGAGAAACGGCCACAAAAUCCCCAACCAUAAAAAUAUAGCAACAAAAUCUUAACUGAAUUUGGGAAAGCAUCAAAUGAAAAAUCCGGACUGUGUUAUUAAAGACUUGAAUCUUUUCCACAACUAAAAGUAUGAUAGCCCAUUUUUGUUGCACAUCAAAAUGCAAACACAUCCAGAUAAAUAAUGUCAAAAAUUUAAACUUCAUAGCAUCUAAAAAAUCGAUUGCACGUCUCCGUAACAUAAAAAUGACGGCAAGAAUUUAUGAAAAUAAUGAUAACGGACACAACUGACUGACCUUCAGGGAUAUUCACUCAUACUCUGCGAACAAGGAGCUCCAAACUUUCCUCUUUAGUCAGGUGCCUUAACUUGAAAAGUUCAAUCGAUGGAUUGGAUGUUGCUAAUUCCUGAAACCGAGUGGUGGCUACUAAUUUACUAGCUGUUUCCCUAAUUCCUCAAAAACUACUUAGCCAGUCUAGGUAAUCCAGUAACCACAAAUCAUCAAUAACCACUAAGCAUUUUGCAAAAGCCAGUAGGUUGCGAAUGUUGACGGUGAUGCCCAUAAUAGAAGAGUUUCUCAACAUCUCGUUGGCGGCCGGUACAAGUUUACAGGUGCCGAACCUGUGCAAUAAUAAAUACUAAAAAGUCCUAAUUACCACCACAGUUAAUUAUAGAACAAAUCCAAGUACUGGAGCAGGGACCCUAGGUGUGCAAUGGGUUACUUGAUUCACCCUGUUCCCGAAGAAUUUGCUUGAUCCGAUAUACCAGAUUUGUCUAUAAAAAUAUUAAUUUUGCAUACAAUGGCAAGUAGGGUCGAUUCCACAGGGAGCGGGUAGGAAAUUAUUUCUUUCCAAAUCAAUAGAAUGAAAUUGGGGGAUUUUCAAUGGGAGGCAAAUAAAGAAAAUAAGAAUAAACAUAAAGCAAACUAAAUUCAAAACUAACUUACAAAGCACAAUUUACUAAAGAUAGCAAUUAAUAAAAUUCUACCCAAAGGAUCAACUGCUCAGGCACGGUCCAGCUAAAUGAUCAUCGAUGCAAAGAUAUUUCGUCCAUUCAUCACUAGGUUGGUUAUAGCUAUCAACAAGCUCUGACAACUAGUUCUUCCUUACUCUUUCGACAGUCAAGGUACGACCAUUGACUGCUUCUCUAACCAGAUAACAACCCUAGGUACGACCGUAGGAAUUUAAUUACCCAAUUGCAUUAAAACUAGAAGAACCCAACCCUAACCAAUAAACACGCUAAGAGGGUUUAUUUAAAUUAGAUCUUGCGUUUCCCCAUCAUAAAACCAAUUAUGGUGGUUGCCACGAGAUGUUAACUAAAUGAACAAUUACGGAUUCUAUUUAAUUAACGUGGCAGUAGGCUAUUAAAUUAAAUCAAAUACCCGGCCGUUGAUAUUCAAUUAAUAAAAUACCCAUGAACAAUUAAUUCAGGAAACGCACGAAUAGCAAUAAACUGGAAGAAUUAAUGAAGAUUCGAUUAGAUCUCACAGAUAUUAUGGACCGCGCCCUCGCGUCAACCUUUGGGUAGAGAAGAAAAUUAGCCGCUCCUCAUCGUGCCAAUCCCGCGUGAUUUAAUUGAAAUCAUUCAAUUAUUCGACGAAGAAUUGGGAAAGGGAAAUUAAUUGCAGUAACAACAGAGAAGGCCCUGCCUUCGUCUUUGCUUUGGAGCUGCAAGUGUACGAACAAAAGCUAACGUAAAUUGUGCAGAGUCAAAACAAAAACCAAGGAGUCAAAGUGUCACAACCGAAAAGCUACAAAAGUCUGCAAUCGUCUGACCCCUCUCGAAAAGAAAAUCAAAGCUAAUCUAUCCUCCCCCUGCGUCCCCUUUUUUGUUGUCUUAUAUAGCGCCGCAGGGGAAAUCCACGCGGAGCAGAGCUCUUCUCUUCAUUGGAGUUUUUAUCCCGUGUAGCUGGUCCAUGUGGACCUAGUUUCCUCAUUCUCAUUCCUCCGACAUCUGGCCCUUUCUUUUCUUUUUUUAAUUGAAGCCUCUAAGAGCCAAGUCACGUCUGACCCAAUUGACUGAAACAAAAGCUAGCCUUUUGGAGUUUUAAUCCCGUGCUCCUCGCGGUUCACGUGGACCGGGGUCCGGCAUUUCGGUAGCGUCCGCCUUGUCUGGCGUGACCACGCCCUGAAAUGAAAGGUCUUCUGGAAAUUUACCUCAAGAUACCAUUUUUAAUGCUAACCACUUACAAUUCACACAAAUAUCAAAUAUGAGUGAAAUUCCCUUUCUUAGCACCGUGAAUAGCCAAAAUUAGGACAAGAUGACAAUGUAAAAUGUGCCAAAUAACUGCUCUAUCACAAGUUGCUUAAGAAUAGAACCUAAAGCUCCCCACAAUUGGUCAAAGUCACGCUGUGCCGAAGUGCCCAAUGAAACCCAGGCAAAAGCUUCAAAAUGGCGAUACAAUGACUCAUGGUUAUAUAAUCUUCUCACAAGGGUUGUCUUCCCCAAACCACGAAUGCCCAUCACGGAAAUUACGUUGGGGGAAAAAGAAUCCGAUUUCGAUUCAAGAAUCCGAUUCAAAAGGAAGUCCAACUCAUUGACUAAUCCAACAACAACUGAAUCCUUCUUCUGGCGUGAACCACAAGGUAGGGGAGGCCUGUUGUUUUGCUGGCCCUGUGACAAAAGCUCCCCGACUCCCAGCAGGUGUCUGAUCCUUUUUCUGAGCAGGGAAAUUUGCCACAGAAAAUCAUCAUCUAUGUCAGAGAAAAACCACCUUUUGAUGGCUCCGAGAGAAAGAAAGUCAGCAUUCUUGCUUUGGUUUUCGAACACUAAAUCUUCCGUAUCAUAACAGGUUUUCUCUACUUCUGUCAACCAAUCAUGAAUUCGUUGUUCCUUGUCAAUUUCUUCCACUAAUUUCUGGAGCAAAAAUAGUUCUAAAACAAGCCCGUUUAUUUCAUCGCUUGCUGCUGUCCUCGAGUAUUUUUCUCCUUUCUCGUGCAGUAAAUUAACGACGUCUUUGACUAAUACAGAGGCCGACGGGAUGCUCAUCCUUCAGUUGAGUUCAAUCAGUUGAUCUCCUCAUCCCAGCCACCAAGUGACCUUUUAUUCUAAGACCCUUUUAGCUUUUCCAAAUUAUCUUAGGGUUGUUCUCUUGAUGGGGCCAGUUAUUUGUUCAAGGAGAAUGAGACCAACAAAUGAUGGGCCUGUUUGGAAGGUGAGUUUUUUGGGUGUUUGUAUAAAAUUUUACUGUAGAUCACUGUAGAAAUUGUAGAAAAACUUUUGUAAGAUGAAAAAACUUUUUUUUCUUUUUCUUUUUCUUUCUUUCUUUCUUUCUUUUUUCUUUUCCUUCCUCCCUUCCCCCUUUUUCUCCCUUCCCCUACCCCCUCCCCUGUUCCCUCUCCCGAAACUACCUCUGUAAACACAUAAAACUUUUUUUUUUUGCUUUUCUUCUCUCCCCCCUCCCUCUCCCUCCCCCGCCACCCCUUCCUCCCCUUUCCCCACCAUCCCUUUCCUCUCCCCUCUGCCCGCCACCCUCCUUGGGCCGCCAUCCCUUUCCUCCCCUCUCCCCCACCACCCCUCUCUACCCCUUCCUCCUCUGUCCCGCCAUCCCCUCUGCCCCUUCCCGCUCCCCUGUUCCUCUUCCCGCUUCUCAGCAUUUCUAAUUUUUUUCUUUUUUUUCACAUUUUCCCUCUCCCUCUCCUCCCCAUUCCUCUCCUUACUCUUGCCGGCAGAUAAAGCAGUGAAAUAAUUUUUUUUGGGCAAUUUUUCUUUUCCCCCUCUCUUCCCCUUCCCCCGCCACCCUCACUUUCCCCUGGUGCAAUCUGGUCUCGCGAUCAGAUUGGCCAGAGGGGAAAGGGAAGGGUUGUGAGGGAGGAGUGGGGGAGACGCAGAGAGAAAAAAAAAGACAGAAGAGAGGAUGGCAGGGGAGGAAGAGGAGGAGAGGGAAAAAGGAAAAAAAAAAAAGAAGACCGGUACCGGAAGAGGUGAUCGGCACCGGAACCGGCGCCGGAGGUGGUGGCCGGCAACGAAGGUGGUGGUGGGGGAGGAAGAAGAAGAAAAGGGGAAGGGAAUUUUUUUUUUUUUUUGUAUUUUGGAUAUUUUAAGUGUGUAGGUUAAAAACUUUGAUAAAUUUUUGGGGUUCCUGUAGCAAAAGUUGUUAAAAACUAGUAUAAUACAAACUUGCUAAAAAACUAGACUUCCAAAUAGGCCCGAUAUUCUAGGGUUGUUUGCCGCUUAAGGGCAAUUAUAUCAUAAAAUAUUUAAAAGCAUUGUUGGAGCACCAAAGACUAAUUUUAGACUGCGAGUGUCACUUUCCUUCCAAUUGGUAACUUCUAUGGCCACGGUUUCUAUAACAAAAGUAGGAGAAGGAUGCACACACUGGGUGCAAUUUUAGAAAUUGAUAAAAAAAAAAGAGGAAUUAAGGGUGUGUUUGUUUGGAUGUAAAAUGUUUUCCUGAAAAUGUUUUCCAAAUUUUCCCGUGUUUGGUAAUCAUUUUAUCUUGGAAAAAGAUUUACACAGGGAAUAUAUUUUACUUCACUUGGUGGAAAAUAACUUCCCCUUUUGACUUACUGAAGUUAUUUUCCUUCAUUAAAAUGAGCGGCUCUUGCACUUUACAAUAAAGCUCCCUACUC
Molecule: long non-coding RNA, 71968 nt
Filed under: Coffea arabica (coffee)
Lineage: Eukaryota; Viridiplantae; Streptophyta; Magnoliopsida; Gentianales; Rubiaceae
Description: long non-coding RNA (CARA_LNC002437)
Source: RNAcentral